This 50578-nucleotide long non-coding RNA is filed under the name Triticum aestivum (bread wheat). Its description in RNAcentral is "long non-coding RNA (TAES_LNC014175)". The stretch from base 29280 to 29401 matches the Rfam family "MIR1120/MIR1122 microRNA precursor family". The record is from RNAcentral. Lineage: Eukaryota; Viridiplantae; Streptophyta; Magnoliopsida; Poales; Poaceae.
CACCCUCCUCGACGCCAACUCCAAGGCAAGGCAAGGCAGGCGCAGAGAAGGAGAAGAGAACCCUGCACCUUUCCACCUUCCCUCCCCCCCUCCCCUCCGUCUCCCCCACGCGACCGCACGAGGUGCAGGACGGGAUCCGUCCGUUGCUUCCCACGGCCGCCUCCGUUCCGUGGACUCCACCGCGCCCGCCGUCCGUCCGUCCGUCCCUGAAAGCAACGCCUGAUCGGAUUCACGAGGGGGUCGACUGCCGCUGCUCCGCGACGGCCACCACCGCCACCUGCCGCAGGUACCACUGCGACUACUUAGCUCCUGCUCCGCUCCCCGCUCCUCUCUUCUUUCCCCUGCCUCUCGGGCUGUUUGUUUGGUGGUCUCCGCCCCGUCCUACACGCCGUGCGUGAGUGCGUGCGAAUGGGGGAGCGGCGGGCUGGGCGAGCCAUGCGUCCGAUUUGAUGCGAUUUGGUUCUGGAGAGCUUGGUCGGGUGCGAGGAGGAAGAAAGCCCCGAUCUUUCGUCCAGGGCCCGAGAGAUUUCCGUUGGGUGGGUGGGUUCUUCUCGGGUUCUGCUCUGAUUUGCUGCCCCUGUCAAUUGUUUUAUUCGAUUCGAGUUGACCCGCCAUCCUCGUUCAAUUUCUGCAUACUACUACUACCACUGCAGUUUUUUCUUGAGAUUUUGGAGAAUUAAAAGGCUUCUCUUUCUCCGUUUCUCAUGCUCCCGCUGCUGCCGUUGCAUGCUCCUAGUAGCAGCAAUUCAGAAACCCUGCGUGCGAUUUCCUGUUUACUGUCUAGAUAGCUGACAUGAGUCUCAGAGAGAUUCAGUUCAGGACACUGAACUUGUUCAUCGGCUGCACUAGCACUAGCAGUUUCCAUCCAAGCCAUGUUUGUCUUCCUACAAUAGAAUAAGUGAAUACCCAUUCAAGCCCAUGUUGCACCAUCUUGGAGAUGCUGUGACUUUUUUGUCUCACCCCAAAUAAAUCCUGCAGAUAUAAUUUACUCUCCUUUCCCUUUCAUGUGAUCCAGGCAAGGGAAUUUUCAAAGGAGAAAUCUGAAGAGCACACAAACUUCGUCUCCUGAGCUGAACUCCUGGUCGACGAAGCAGAAGCCAUGGGGUCAGGGGACUGGUUCAAGACCAUCAUCAGCAAGAAGAAGUCGAAACGGGGCAAGUCAAAGCACGCAAAGGUACCCCCUCCAUGCCUCCACCCACAUCAACAUGCCCCCUUUCUUUUCUUUACCACUCUCCAGAAUCCAAGAAAAAUAUUAUUACCAUCAAUCUUUAAAUUUCCCUUUACCCCAACCUUCCACACCACACCCUGACUCACCCUGGCCCCCUUGCAUGCCUUCGAAGCAACCUGAAUGAAAGAAAAAGAUGCCAUCGGUUUCAUUCCACAUCAUAUUCCAUCAUUAUUCGGCAGCGAGGGCCAGGGCAGACAAACUGCACCGCUUUGUGCUGCUACAACUUGGUGACUUGUCGCUGUGGCAAUCAUAAUGGAGGAAAGUAAGAAAGCCUUGGUUUGUUUUGCCGGUGGCAAUAAUGGGAAAGGUGUCAUCGAUGCUGACUCGUAGCACAGUUUCUCUGUCGAGUUGGGUGCUGCCUUGGAUUUUGGGAUGGGAACCAUGCCUGCUUGCCUGCGUGCCUUGCAGAGUUUUGGUGAGCUACUGCUAUCUGCAUCUGACCUUGCCCACUGGCUUCAGGACGUCUGAAAUCGUCAGCAUAGGUGUUGGAUACUGUGAUACUAGAUGAGUUAUGUCAUCUAUGUUGAUAUUUUGUGUGAUAUGGUUGGGGAAAACUGAAAGCCAUGACCAUUCUUUGCUAUGCAAUUAAUCAACAACAUUUUGGGUCAGAUUAAGUUUCUGAAUUUUCAGAAACUUGUGUUCCUUAGAAAAGAAGUACCCCGCGAGUUACGGUGUGGAUGUACAAAUGUCACUUUUGGACGUUGUUCAUUGGACUGGUCUGUGAGAGUAACUUGACUGCUGAAAUGGGUCCAGAGAAAAAAGACUUUUGACUGUUGAAUUGGUCCUUCGUAGCUUCUUUUUUUCUGCCACGUCGAUUUUGAUAUGCCGAUUGGCCUAACAUCCCUUGACUCAUUCCUUGUGAUACAAAAUAGGUGGUCUAAAUUAGAAUGAACUCUGGUACAAAUUGGCUGUUCUAGUAAACGCUACUGACUACAUUCCAUUCUGGUCAACAUUUACAAUGAAACUUUUGUUGCUAUUGUAUUUGUCAUACCAGCUACAGUCGUGUUAUUGGUUUUCACCUGGACAUCUGAACAUCCUCGAUGAAUUAAGCCAUAAACAUUUACAAAAGAUUAAAUUGUGCAUUCAUCCUGACAUGCUUCCUUUUACAUAGAAGGUUGCUGCGCAACGCAAUGGAGCCAACCUGCCGCAGCAAAAGCCCAGCAACGCUCCUUCUUCCAGCAGCGACCCUGAAGACAACGCAGCACUGGAAGACUGGGCAGCUACCCGGAUUCAGAACGCGUUUCGGCGCCACAAGGUAAUAUCGACAAUCUACAGCAAAAACUUCAUUUCUACUGUUUGAUUGAGCGAAUAGGUAACAUAUUGCAUUUUCCCUACAUAAUCACCACUUAAAUGCAGGCAAGGAGGACGCUCCGUUGCCUGAGGGGAGUUAAAAGACUGCGCAUUGUUGGCCAGAGCAAUCCAGUUACCAAGCAGACCAGUGCCACACUGAGCUACAUACAGUCUUGGAACAAGUUACAGGCUGAGCUAAGAAACCGGCGUGCUUUCAUGGUCACCGAAGGGCGCAACAGGAAGAAGAAGCAAGAGAACCAAGUCAAACUUGAUGCAAAGCUCCAAAAUUUGCAGGUAAUUCUCUUUCUUGCGCCAACUCUGUUUCUUCAUCAGAAAGUUGCCCAUUGGUUGAACUUUACUAGAGACAAGAGUAUGAGUUCCUUGACAUUUUAUCUUGCUCAUCGGCAUGUUUUUAUCAGGUUGCGUGGAAUGGAGGCUCGAAUACCAUGGAUGAAAUAGUUGCCAGGAUACAUCUAAGGGAAGAAGCAGCAGUAAAGCGUGAGCGAGCCAUGGCAUAUGCGUUUAACCAUCAGGUUCAUACUGGCUACUAAUACUCACAUCACAAUUCAUUAUAUUGCAACAAUUCAUGCCUAAAGUUUAUAUUCGAAACUCAUGAUUAACUGCUCCACAGAGCACUGUAACAUUUAUGUAUCUCAAUGAUUAUAAACCAUAUGCCUCGCCCUUUUGCAGUGGAGGGCAAAGUCUGCCACAAGCCAAGGAAACUUCAACUAUGGGGUCGGGAACGGUGGCUGGGGCUGGAGCUGGAUGGACCGCUGGAUCGCUGCACGACCAUGGGAGCCCCGAUCUAUGGUCACCCCUGAAAACCCGAAGAAGGGACAAUCAAAGAAAGACAACACCAGCACAAACCAGUCAGCUCUGAAGCUGCAAGGUGCAAUCAGUCUAAGCAACAACACCAGUGACCGGAAAGUUCCCAAGAAGAAGUCAUCUCCCUCUCCUGAUAAGAAGAAACCGGUAGCGAAAACGGAGCAGAAACCAGUAGCGAAAACAGAGCAGAAACCAAAGGCGGCAGGCCCUCCCAAGGCGAAGUCGAAGGACAUGAAGAGGAACCAAGAGAAGCAGCAACAACCCGCGGUUCCUGCGAUCACUGCUUGAAACCCGCGGCGAAAAGGUUACCGGAGACGUUGUAUGAUACAUCCUGUGAAGUUUCUCUUUUCUUUUACACUCUUAUGUGGUUUGUCUCUUACAUUGCUGUUUUAUCGGAACAAGAAGUGACCAAUGUAGAAUGUGUUUGGUUUGCGCGAUUGCACACAUACCUAAUGAGAGUGGUUUUUGGUUAGGACUAGGAUCUCUACUGUGCGCAUUGUAUGCGGGUGUGUAAUAUGAUGCCAUCUCUGUCUGCUGGGCUGAAAUGGUUCUGUUGGAACAAAAGUUCAAGUUCCAUCUCUGUUCAUGACAAAAUUUUAACUUCUUGGUUGUAAGUGUGUAACAUAUUGUUGUAGGUGAUCGACCAUAUAUCAGACAAAGGACUGAAGGUGCCGGGGACAUGAUUUUUCUGAUAAACCUUUGCUAAGCAACACAAGUCUUCAAAUUCAAACUGCAUCUACUUCCACAUUCUCAUAUAAUCUGACUAAACCAGCUUGUGUAUACCUAGAGCAUUUGGAAUUUUCUCUUCUUUCCAUGUUUUGCACAGUUUCCAGAGCGCGCCGGUGAGGCACCGACCCCAGGGAAGAACCACCGCCCAGCUUUGUACUUCCCCGGCGAACCACCGACGGGGCGUUGAAACAGCACCUUCUGCUCCUCCAUGGAAUACACGCCCCAAAUGCUGUUGCUGUAGGAAUGCUUGUCGAGCUCGCUCACAAAGUAGAUGCAGUUGGCCCUGCACCCCGGCGUCUCGGAUGCGCGCACCGCCAACGAUGAUUGCUCGCUCACGAACAGCGCCCGGUCAUCGGCGAGCCUCUCCACUUUCACCCACCGUGUCACCUUGACAUCCAGCGUGUACACCUCGAAGCCACCGACGGAUUUGGGGCAUCCGGGUUCUUGUGGUGCGAGCACCAUACCAACGAACAUGACCUCCCCUUCUGACACGAGCAGGUGGUUGUUGGUGUCGCGCAGGUAGGUGUACCCAGGGAUCGAGGAGUACUGCUUGAGAAUGCUCGGCGCACGGAGCCUCUUCAGCCCCCAUGGCAGCGGCCCACGCGAAAACAUGUUUCAGAGCCUAUGCACCCGGGUACUCCUUAUCCAACCACUCAUUCCUGCAUCACCAUUCAUGCAAAUAAUUUUCUUUUUUUUGUUUCUCUUAUAUAGAACAUGUAUUUGUACUUCAACUUUGCAGCACCACAAAGCUUUCUAUGUAGAAUGUGGGAUAAAACUUACAGAUUUUUUGGUCCAACAUAAAUAUACAAAAUGAGAUUUGUUUGAUUAAAAAAAUCUUAUUUUCAUAUUUAUGUCGGACAAAAAAAUCUGAAAGUUUUAUCUCACAUUCUAGUUACAAAGUUAUGUUGUACUGCAAAGUUUGAAAUUCAAGACAUGUUUUAUAUGAGAGGAACAAAAAAGAGAAAAUUACAUGUAAUAAGGUAGUUGUGUAGCACAGAUCUCAAAGUAACAUUGGAGUGCUAGGAUAGUGAGGCCCGGGUGCAUAAGCUCACAAAAUCUGCAUUCCCGGCCCACGCCGGUCGACAAUGUAGGUGAAGCCGUUGUAAUCCAUGGCGUAGAGGGUGCCGCCGGCGUAGUCCGCAAGGCGGAUAGCGUCGCAGCCUCUGAACACUUCGGGCUGGAGGAGCUUCUCCUCGAACCACCGCUCCUCCUCACACCACAGCAGAGAGACACUCCCAAAACACUCGGUAACGAACAACGCGUUGGCGCCAGCAGCGACCCUCAGCUGGGGUUCCACCUCAAACCUUCGCCGGGGGCCAUACAUCUCGAUGCUCUGGAGCGUGCCGGUAACGGGGUUGACGAGGACGACGCGGUUGUCCUCCACGAACGAGAAGUCGCCGUAGGGCAAGGCGCCAGACAACUCUAUAUCGCCCGUCGCGUGGCUGAACGCGGCGGGCAAGCGGGCUGGCAUCACCGGCGCCGGCGACUCCUCUUGGUCGAUCAACAAGGAGAAGAUGGCGCCGCGGCGACGCUGCUGGGUCGAGCAGGUACUGCUUGUGGGCCCGAGCAGGACCUUGAGCGCCAACAGGUGCGGGGUGGGCCGCGCGAGCCGCUCGGAGACGGUCGCCGCCCAGGACCUGCAGACGGCGGGUUCGUGCUGUAAAUUGGGUUGGAAGCGUUGAACCCUUUGUCUCCGGCCGCAUGUUUAUAUAUAAUGGCUAUGCCUUGGAGUACAAGAAGAGAUUAAGAAGAUCAAUCUUAGGUGGUUCGGUACAGGAGGUUAACGAGGAGAGGAAAGAAAGGAGAUAGAGAUAGAUUACAAUUUGAAUAAAACUAUCCUAUACAUAUUCUAACACUCCCCCUCAAUCUAAACCUCAUGAACUUCGACCAAGGUUGAGAUUGUACUUGAACUCAUCUAACUUCCUCAUAGUGAGAGGCUUUGUGAAUCCAUCAGCAAGUUGAUCUCCAGUAGGAAUGAACUGAAUUUCGAGGAGCUUUCUAGCUACUCUUUCUCUGACAAAGUGAAAUCAACUUCAGUAUGCUUUGUGCGUGCAUGAAAAAUAGGAUUAACUGACAGAUAGGUUGCACCAAUAUUAUCACACCACAAUCUGGCUGCUUUUGGAGUCUUAAUUCCAAGUUCAUAAAGCAAUGUCUGUAUCCACAUUACUUCAGCUGUGGCAUUUGCCAAAGCUUUGUAUUCAGCCUUAGUACUUGAUCUAGAGACUGUAGUCUGCUUUCUUGCACUCCAUGACACAAGAUUGGAUCCCAGAAAUACAGCAAAUCCACCAGUUGACCUUCUAUCAUCAAUACAUCCUGCCCAGUCUGCAUCAGAGUAGGCAGUAACAAGCAUAGAAGAAGACUUGGUAAUUUGAAGUCCAAGUCCCUCUGAAAACUUAAGGUACCUCAAAAUCCUCUUAACUGCAGUCCAAUGAGUAGUGCUAGGAGCAUGUAAAUACUGACAUACCUUGUUGACAGCAUAAGAAAUGUCAGGGCGUGUAAGUGUCAAAUAUUGCAAUGCACCCACAACACUCCUCUAGUUUGUUGCAUCCUCUGAUCCAAGUGGCUCUCCACUUUCAAUAGAGAGUUUUUCAGAAGUUGAGAUAGGUGUACUCACAGGUUUACAUUUUUCCAAACCUACUCUCCUGAGUAUGUCAGCUGUGUAUUUUCCCUGUGUCAGAAGUAUACCAUCUCUUAUCUGUUUGACCUCAAUACCAAGAAAAUAAUGAAGAUCUCCCAAGUCCUUGAGGGCAAAUUCUAACUUAAGAUCCUUAAGCAAACAAGUGGUGGCACUUGAACUCGAGCUAGCAACAAUAAUAUCAUCAACAUAAACCAGCACAAAAAUAGUCACAUUUCCUUUAUUGUAAAAGAACAAGGAUGUGUCUGCUUUGGAUGGUACAAAUCCAAGUUGUUGUAGUUGCAUGCUCAAUCGUGAAUACCAAGCUCUUGGCGCCUGUUUUAAACCAUAUAGAGCUUUAUCCAACUUACAAACAUAAUGUGGUGUACCUUUAUUUUCAUAACCUGGUGGCUGCCGCAUGAACACCUCCUCCUCAAGAACACCAUGAAGAAACGCGUUCUGAACAUCUAGCUGUCUUAAGCUCCAAACUCUGGAAACAUCAAUGGACAAGACAAGUCGAAUUGUGGCUGAUUUAACAACUGGACUAAAAGUAUCCUCAUAGUCAAUCCCAAACCUUUGCUUAAAACCUUUAGCAACUAAUCUAGCCUUGUACCUGUCUAUGCUUCCAUCUGACUUCCUUUUUAUCUUGUACACCCAUUUACAAUCAAUAACAUUCAUUCCACUUUUUGAUGGUACUAGGUGCCAUGUUUUAUUUUUCAUAAGUGCAUCAUACUCACUAUCCAUGGCCUCUUUCCAAUCUUUGUGAGCAAGGGCAUCAGCAAGAUUAACUGGUUCACCAGUAGUACUGAGAAAAGCACGUUUUUUAUCAUACCUAAUGGUGCCAUCUUUGUAUUCCUUUUCCUUGGUAAUACCCGAUUGUGACCAUGUGUGACGCCGAGGAACAAUUUGUGCAGCAGAAGAGGCGUCCACAAAAGAUCCAGCGUCCUGUACACGUCCAGCAGCCACGGGAUCGCAUGCCGUCUCUUCUGCAGACAGAAUCGGCCUCGGGAUUGAUCCACCAGCAGAAGCGGGCCGCGUGUCGCCUGAGGACUCCACACGGGUGGACGUGCACAUCGGGGCCCAUGGGCUGGACCCAGCCGCGGUCGCCCGGUCGGGCGGCUGGUCGGCCACCCCCGCGGACCGUGGGCUCGUGGCAAGCGGGGAUUCGCCUCCAGCCCCGCAUGCGCUGGUGGGAUCCACGCGGUCACUAUCGGCCACCGGGUCACGCGCCGUCUCCGCAUGCAGGUGGACAGGAUCCUCCUCGGAUCGUGCGCCAAUGAUUGCGCUGGCGCUAGCGCCAGGAUUCGCCUGGGAUCGCGUGCCAGAUCGCCUGCUGCCGCCAGAAUCCUCCUCGUGAUCAGCAACACCUGUAUUGUCUGUUUCUGGACACAUAAAAUCAUGAGCUGCAUUUGUACAUACAUCAUUAGGGCUGCAAUUUUCUGCGGAUUUGUUCACAUGGUUAGCUACAGAUAAUUCACCCCCGUGAUCAGAUAGUGUGUCAAGAUCCGUAAGAAGUGCUAUUUCAGCACGGAGAAGAGCGCCUGCGUUGGGAUGAAUCUUGGCAAACGGAAAGAGAGUUUCAUCAAAAAUUACACCUCGAGAAAUAUAUAUACGUCUGGUGGAAAUUUCUAGGCACUUGUAUCCCUUGUGUAGAUUACUAUAGCCUAGAAAAACACAUUGAGUGGAACGAAAUUCAAGUUUGUGAUGAUUAUACGGACGUAAGUUGGGGUAACAAGCACACCCAAAAGUUUUGAGAGAGUUGUAGUCUGGUUUUUGAUGGUAGAGACGUUCCAAAGGAGUGGAGUUGCCAAUAACUUUACUUGGAAGACAAUUAAUGAGAUAUGUUGCUGUAAUAAAAGCUUCAUCCCAAUAUUUUAGAGGCAUAGACGCAUGAGCAAGUAGAGAGAGUCCAACUUCAACAAUGUGGCGGUGUUUGCGCUCGGCAGAACCGUUCUGUUGAUGAGCAUGAGGACAAGACACACGGUGCUGAAUUCCUAUGCUACGGAAGAAAGAGUUGAGUUUUUCGUACUCCCCUCCCCAGUCACUUUGGACUGUUAGAAUUUUUCUAUUAAAGUGUCUUUCAACCAGUUUCUGAAAUUCUUGAAAGACAGAGAAAACCUCAGAUUUAUAUUUGAGUAAAUAAAUCCAAGUGAACUUGCUAUAAUCAUCAAUAAAACUAACAUAGUAUUUAUUUUUUUCCAAAGAAAUCUCUUGCAUGACCCCAUACAUCACUGAAAAUAAGCUCUAAAGGAGCAUGAUACACACUAUUUAACUUGGGAUAAGGAAGUUGAUGGCUCUUGGCACACUGACAAGCUUCACAAACUGACUCACUAUUUUGACUAUGUGACAAAGAAAGUUUGUCUUUAUUGACUACUUGUUUAACUAUGAUUGGUGAUGGGUGUCCUAAUAUUUGAUGCCACCUUUCCAAGGAGGGUUUAGUGGCAGAAUAAACUUGACGCCGAUUGCGACUGAGUGCUCCGGAUGUAAUGGGGUAGAGCCCUCCAACGCAUCUACCGUGAUGAAGAAGUUCCCUCGUUGCCCGGUCCUUUAUAAAAAAGUAACGAGGGUGAGUUUCAAAGAAGACGUUAUUGUCAGUGGCUAGACGAGACAUGGAUGCAAGAUUUUUAUCAGCUUGUGGGACAUCAAGAACGUCUUUAAGAACUAGAUCAUGUUUAAGGUUGGGGGAAUUAAUGUAAGCUUGUCCAAUGUGACAAAUAUCCAUACCUCCACCACUUGCCGCAGUGUGAAUCUGAUCGCCACCAUGGUAUCUCUCACGAAGUGCAAGUUGCUCUAACUCGCUGGUGACAUGAUCUGUUGCACCCGAGUCCACGUACCAGACGUCGUCUCCUCCUCCUUCUUCACGUAUGGCAGCAACAACAUGACGAGCGUCGGGGACGAAGUCUUCAUCAUACCUGUGCCAACAGUCCAUGACCUCAUGGCCUGACUUUUUGCACAGCUGACAAUGAGGGCGGCGAUUUGAGGAGGAGCGGCGGCUGUUGUUGUUGUUGAAGCCGCCACCUCCGGAGUUGUUGCCACCACCAGAACGAGCACCCUCGCCCUGGUAGUUGCCGCGGCCGCGUCCGCCGCUGUUGGAGCUGCAGUUCUGUCCCUGGUGACCACGCCCACGGUCACGCCCGCGAGCCGCUGAGUUGACGGAGGACUGUCUGAUGUUGGUACUGUGGAGGAGGGCGAGGCGAGCAUCAAAGCUCAAGAGCUGGUUGUACAGCUCCUGAACCGAGACCGGCUCAACCCUAGCAGACAGAGCGGACACGACUGGAUUGUAGUCCAGAUCGAGGCUAGCCAUGAUCUUGGAGACUAUCUCUGGAUCGGAAGAGGAACUCCGGUGUAGCAUGCAACUUCACCUGUAAGGGUUUUAAUUUUGCCAAGAUGUUUUGCCAUGGACAUGUUACCUUUCUUCAAGUUUGUGAGCUCGAUGCAGGUGUUGAUGGCCUGACUCUAGCUCUGGGCGGUGAACAUGGCGUUGAUGGCGCUCCAGACCUCUGCUGGCGUCUGGAGGGUGGCAACUUGAGCGAGAAUCUCACGGGACAAAGACCCCAUCAGAUAUCCCUGGAGUUGCUGCUGCUGCGUGUACCAGAGGGUUCGGGCGAAGUUGAUGAUCUGUUCGUCUUUUCCAUCUUUGGUGAUGGUGAGGGUGGCCGGUGGUUCCUGGCUCGUCCCAUCAAGGUGGCGCUCCAUCUGUGCGUCUCGGAUUUGCAGGAGCAUGACGGCCUUCCAUAAGAGGAAGUUCCCCCUUGUUAGCUUCUCCUGUGGGGGCGGUCCGAGAGGAAUAGAGCUGCUGCUAGAUGAUGAUGCGAAGGUAGAGGCUGUGGAGGAGGAAAGCGCGCUCGUCGUGGAAGAUAGGGCUGCGGAGGAGGACAUGAUCUCGGCCGCAGGAAGGUAGCUAGAUGCGAUCUUCGAUCUAAGAGGAAGAUGCUCUGAUUACCAUGUAAAUUGGGGUGGAAGCGUUGAACCCUUUGUCUCGGGCCGCAUGUUUAUAUAUAAUGGCUAUGCCUUGGAGUAUAAGAAGAGAUCAAGAAGAUCGAUCUCAGGUGGUUCGGUACAGGAGGUUAACAAGGAGAGGAAAGAAAGGAGAUAGACACAGAUUACAAUUUGAAUGAAACUAUCCUAUGUUGGGGAACGUAGUAAUUUCAAAAAAAUUCCUACGCACAUGCAAGAUCAUGAUGAUGCAUAGCAAUGGGAGGGGAGAGUGUGAUCUACGUACCCAUGUAGAUCGACAACGGAAGCGUUUGGUUGAUGUAGUCGUACGUCUCCACGGCCCGACCGAUCAAGCACCGAAACUACGGCACCUCCGAGUUCUAGCACACGUUCAGCUCGAUGACGAUCCCCGGACUCCGAUCCAGCAAAGUGUCGGGGAAGAGUUCCGUCAGCACGACGGCAUGGUGACGAUCUUGAUGUACUACUGUCGCAGGGCUUCGCCUAAGCACCGCUACAACAUUAUCGAGGACUAUGGUGGCAGGGGGCGCCGCACACGGCUAAGAAUAUGAUCACGUGGAUCAACAUGUGUCCCUAUAUAAAGGCUCAAAGGGGGGGUGCGUCCGGCCAGGAGAGGCGCGCCAGGAGGAGUCCUAGUUGGACUCCCCCCCCUUUCCUAGUUGGAAUAGGAUUCGCGGAGGGGGGAGGAAGAGGAAGGGGGGCCGGCCCCCUCUCCUUGUCCUAUUCGGACCAAGGGAGGGGAGGGGCGCGCGGCCCAUCUCUGGCUACCUCUCCUCUCUUCCACUAAGGCCCACUAAGGCCCAUAUAGCUCCAGGGGGGGUUCCGGUAACCUCCUGGUACUCCGGUAAAAUCCCGAUUUCACCCGGAACACUUCCGAUAUCCAAACAUAGGCUUCCAAUAUAUCAAUCUUUAUGUCUCGACCAUUUCGGGACUCCUCAUCAUGCCCGUGAUCACAUCCGGGACUCCGAACAACCUUCGGUACAUCAAAACGUAUAAACUCAUAACAUAACUGUCAUCGAAACCUUAAGCGUGCGGACCCUACGGGUUCGAGAACAAUGUAGACAUGACCGAGACACGUCUCCGGUCAAUAACCAAUAGCGGGACCUGGAUGCCCAUAUUGGCUCCUACAUAUUCUACGAAGAUCUUUAUCGGCAGAACGCAUAACAACAUACGUUGUUCCCUUUGUCAUCGGUAUGUUACUUGCCCGAGAUUCGAUCGUCGGUAUCCAAUACCUAGUUCAAUCUCGUUACCGGCAAGUCUCUUUACUCGUUCUGUAAUACAUCAUCCCGCAACUAACUCAUUAGUUGCAAUGCUUGCAAGGCUUAAGUGAUGUGCAUUACCGAGAGGGCCCAGAGAUACCUCUCCGACAUUCUGAGUGACAAAUCCUAAUCUCGAAAUACGCCAACCCAACAUGUACCUUUAGAGACACCUGUAGAGCUCCUUUAUAAUCACCUAGUUACGUUGUGACGUUUGGUAGCACACAAAGUGUUCCUCCGACAAACGGGAGUUGCAUAAUCUCAUAGUCAUAGGAACAUGUAUAAGUCAUGAAGAAAGCAAUAGCAACAUACUAAACGAUCGGGUGCUAAGCUAAUGGAAUGGGUCAUGUCAAUCAGAUCAUUCAACUAAUGAUGUGAUCCCGUUAAUCAAAUAACAACUCUUUGUCCAUGGUUAGGAAACAUAACCAUCUUUGAUUAACGAGCUAGUCAAGUAGAGGCAUACUAGUGACACUCUGUUUUGUCUAUGUAUUCACACAUGUAUUAUGUUUCCGGUUAAUACAAUUCUAGCAUGAAUAAUAAACUUUUAUCAUGAUAUAAGGAAAUAAAUAAUAACUUUAUUAUUGCCUCUAGGGCAUAUUUCCUUCAGUCUCCCACUUGCACUAGAGUCAAUAAUCUAGAUUACACAGUAAUGAUUCUAACACCCAUGGAGCUUUGGUGCUGAUCAUGUUUUGCUCGUGGAAGAGGCUUAGUCAACGGGUCUGCUACAUUCAGCUCCGUAUGUAUCUUGCAAAUCUCUAUGUCUCCCACCUGGACUAGAUCCCGGAUGGAAUUGAAGCGUCUCUUGAUGUGUUUGGUUCUCUUGUGAAAUCUGGAUUCCUUUGCCAAGGCAAUUGCACCAAUAUUGUCACAAAAAAUUUUCAUUGGACCCGAUGCACUAGGUAUGACACCUAGAUCGGAUAUGAACUCCUUCAUCCAGACUCCUUCGUUUGCUGCUUCUGAAGCAGCUAUGUACUCCGCUUCACAUGUAGAUCCCGCCACGACGCUUUGUUUAGAACUGCACCAACUGACAGCUCCACCGUUUAAUGUAAAUACGUAUUCGGUUUGCGAUUUAGAAUCGUCCGGAUCAGUGUCAAAGCUUGCAUCAACGUAACCGUUUACGAUGAGCUCUUUGUCACCUCCAUAUACGAGAAACAUAUCCUUAGUCCUUUUUAGGUACUUCAGGAUGUUCUUGACCACUGUCCAGUGAUCCACUCCUGAAUUACUUUGGUACCUCCCUGCUAAACUUAUAGCAAGGCACACAUCAGGUCUGGUACACAACAUUGCAUACAUGAUAGAGCCUAUGGCUGAAGCAUAGGGAACAUCUUUCAUUUUCUCUCUAUCUUCUGCAGUGGUCGGGCAUUGAGUCUGACUCAACUUCACACCUUGUAACACAGGCAAGAACCCUUUCUUUGCUUGAUCCAUUUUGAACUUCUUCAAAAUCUUGUCAAGGUAUGUGCUUUGUGAAAGUCCAAUUAAGCGUCUUGAUCUAUCUCUAUAGAUCUUUAUGCCUAAUAUGUAAGCAGCUUCACCGAGGUCUUUCAUUGAAAAACUCUAAUUCAAGUAUCCCUUUAUGCUAUCCAGUAAUUCUAUGUCAUCCACAUAUAAUAUCAGAAAUGCUACAGAGCUCCCACUCACUUUCUUGUAAAUACAGGCUUCUUCGAAAGUCUGUAUAAAACCAAAUGCUUUGAUCACACUAUCAAAGCAUUUAUUCCAACUCCGAGAGGCUUGCACCAGUCCAUAAAUGGAUCGCUGGAGCUUGCACACUUUGUUAGCUCCCUUUGAAUCGACAAAACCUUCCGGUUGCAUCAUAUACAACUCUUCUUCCAGAAAUCCAUUCAGGAAUGCAGUUUUGACAUCCAUCUGCCAAAUUUCAUAAUCAUAAAAUGCGGCAAUUGCUAACAUGAUUCGGACAGACUUAAGCAUCACUACGGGUGAGAAGGUCUCAUCGUAGUCAACCCCUUGAACUUGUCAAAAACCUUUUGCGACAAGUCGAGCUUUGUAGAUAGUAAUAUUACCGUCAGCGUCAGUCUUCUUCUUGAAGAUCCAUUUAUUCUCAAUUGCUUGCCAAUCAUCGGGCAAGUCAACCAAAUUCCAUACUUUGUUCUCAUACAUGGAUCCCAUCUUAGAUUUCAUGGCUUCAAGCCAUUUUGCAGAAUCUGGGCUCACCAUCACUUCUUCAUAGUUCGUAGGUUCAUCAUGAUCUAAUAGCAUGAUUUCCAUAACAGGAUUACCGUACCACUCUGGCGCGGAUCUUACUCUGGUUGAUCUACGAGGUUCAGUAGUAUCUUGUUCUGAAGUUUCAUGAUCAUUAUCAUUAGCUUCCUCACUAAUUGGUGUAGGUGUCGCAGAAACAGGUUUCUGUGAUGUACUACUUUCCAAUAAGGGAGCAGGUACAGUUACCUCGUCAAGUUCUACUUUCCUCCCACUCACUUCUUUCGAGAGAAACUCCUUCUCUAGAAAGGAUCCAUUCUUAGCAACGAAUGUCUUGCCUUCGGAUCUAUGAUAGAAGGUGUACCCAACAGUCUCCUUUGGGUAUCCUUUGAAGACACAUUUCUCCGAUUUGGGUUCGAGCUUAUCAGGUUGAAGCUUUUUCACAUAAGCAUCACAGCCCCAAACUUUAAGAAAUGACAACUUUGGUUUCUUGCCAAACCAUAGUUCAUAAGGCGUCGUCUCAAUGGAUUUUGAUGGUGCCCUAUUUAACGUGAAUGCGGCCGUCUCUAAAGCAUAACCCCAAAACGAUAGCGGUAAAUCAGUAAGAGACAUCAUAGAUCGCACCAUAUCUAGUAAAGUACGAUUACGACGUUCGGACACACCAUUACGCUGUGGUGUUCCGGGUGGUGUGAGUUGCGAAACUAUUCCGCAUUGUUUCAAAUGUACACCAAACUCGUAACUCAAAUAUUUUCCUCCACGAUCAGAUCGUAGAAACUUUAUUUUCUUGUUACGAUGAUUUUCGACUUCACUCUAAAAUUCUUUGAACUUUUCAAAUGUUUCAGACUUAUGUUUCAUUAAGUAGAUAUACCCAUAUCUACUUAAGUCAUCUGUGAAGGUGAGAAAAUAACGAUAUCCGCCACGAGCCUCAAUAUUCAUCGGACCACAUACAUCUGUAUGUAUGAUUUCCAACAAAUCUGUUACUCUCUCCAUAGUACCGGAGAACGGUGUUUUAGUCAUCUUGCCCAUGAGGCACGGUUCGCAAGUACCAAGUGAUUCAUAAUCAAGUGGUUCCAAAAGUCCAUCAGUAUGGAGUUUCUUCAUGCGCUUUAUACCGAUAUGACCUAAACGGCAGUGCCACAAAUAAGUUGCACUAUCAUUAUCAACUCUGCAUCUUUUGGCUUCAACAUUAUGAAUAUGUGUGUUACUACUAUCGGGAUUCAUCAAAAAUAGACCACUCUUCAAAGGUGCAUGACCAUAAAAGAUAUUACUCAUAUAAAUAGAACAACCAUUAUUCUCUGAUUUAAAUGAAUAACCAUCUCGCAUUAAACAAGAUCCAGAUAUAAUGUUCAUGCUCAACGCUGGCACCAAAUAACAAUUAUUUAGGUCUAAUACUAAUCCCGAAGGUAGAUGUAGAGGUAGCGUGCCGACCGCGAUCACAUCGACUUUGGAACCAUUUCCUACGUGCAUCGUCACCUCGUCCUUUGCCAGUGUUCGCUUAAUCCGUAGUCCCAGUUUUGAGUUGCAAAUAUUAGCAACAGAACCAGUAUCAAAUACCCAGGUGCUACUGCGAGCUCUAGUAAGGUACACAUCAAUAACAUGUAUAUCACAUAUACCUUUGUUCACCUUGCCAUCCUUCUUAUCCGCCAAAUACUUGGGGCAGUUCCGCUUCCAGUGACCAGUCUGCUUGCAGUAGAAGCACUCAGUUUUAGGCUUAGGUCCAGACUUGGGUUUCUUCUCUUGAGCAGGAACUUGCUUGCUGUUCUUCUUGAAGUUCCCCUUCUUCUUCCCUUUACCCUUUUUCUUGAAACUAGUGGUCUUGUUGACCAUCAACACUUGAUUCUCCUUUUUGAUUUCUACCUCCGCAGCUUUCAGCAUUGCGAAGAGCUCGGGAAUAGUCUUAUUCAUCCCUUGCAUAUUAUAGUUCAUCACGAAGCUCUUGUAGCUUGGUGGCAGUGAUUGGAGAAUUCUGUCAAUGACACAAUCAUCUGGAAGAUUAACUCCCAUCUGAAUCAAGUGAUUAUUAUACCCAGACAUUUUGAGUAUAUGCUCACUGACAGAACUGUUCUCCUCCAUCUUGCAGCUAUAGAACUUAUUGGAGACUUCAUAUCUCUCAAUCCGGGCAUUUGCUUGAAAUAUUAACUUCAACUCCUGAAACAUCUCAUAUGCUCCAUGACAUUCAAAACGUCGUUGAAGUCCCGAUUCUAAGCCGUAAAGCAUGGCACACUGAACUAUCGAGUAGUCAUCAGCUUUGCUCUGCUAGACGUUCAUAACAUCUGGUGUUGCUCCAGCAGCAGGCCUGGCACCCAGCGGUGCUUCCAGGACGUAAUUCUUCUGUGCAGCAAUGAGGAUAAUUCUCAAGUUACGGACCCAGUCCGUGUAAUUGCUACCAUCAUCUUUCAACUUUGCUUUCUCAAGGAACGCGUUAAAAUUCAACGGAACAACAGCACGGGCCAUCUAUCUACAAUCAAACAUACAUAAGCAAGAUACUAUUAGGUACUAAGUUCAUGAUAAAUUUAAGUUCAAUUAAUCAUAUUACUUAAGAACUCCCACUUAGAUAGACAUCCCUCUAAUCUUCUAAGUGAUCACGUGAUCCAAAUCAACUAAACCAUAACCAAUCAUCACGUGAAAUGGAGUAGCUUUCAAUGGUGAACAUCACUAUGUUGAUCAUAUCUACUAUAUGAUUCACGCUCGAUCUUUCGAUCUCAGUGUUCUGAGGCCAUAUCUGCAUAUGCUAGGCUCGUCAAGUUUAACCUGAGUAUUCUGCGUGUGCAAAACUGGCUUAUACCCGUUGUAGAUGGACGUAGAGCUUAUCACACCCGAUCAUCACGUGGUGUCUGGGCACGACGAACUUUGGCAACGGUGCAUACUCAGGGAGAACAUUUUUAUCUUGAUAAUUUAGUGAGAGAUCAUCUUAUAAUGCUACCGUCAAUCAAAGCAAGAUAAGAUGCAUAAAAGAUAAACAUCACAUGCAAUCAAUAUAAGUGAUAUGAUAUGGCCAUCAUCAUCUUGUGCCUGUGAUCUCCAUCUCCGAAGCACCGUCAUGAUCACCAUCGUCACCGGUGCGACACCUUGAUCUCCAUCGUAGCAUCGUUGUCGUCUCGCCAAUCUUAUGCUUCCACGACUAUCGCUACCGCUUAGUGAUAAAGUAAAGCAUUACAGCGCGAUUGCAUUGCAUACAAUAAAGUGAAAACCAUAUGGCUCCUGCCAGUUGCCGAUAACUCGGUUAAAAAACAUGAUCAUCUCAUACAAUAAAAUUUAGCAUCAUGUCUUGACCAUAUCACAUCACAACAUGCCCUACAAAAACAAGUUAGACGUCCUCUACUUUGUUGUUGCAAGUUUUACGUGGCUGCUACGGGCUUAAGCAAGAACCAAUCUUACCUACGCAUCAAAACCACAACGAUAGUUUGUCAAGUUGGUGCUGUUUUAACCUUCGCAAGGACCGGGUGUAGCCACACUCGGUUCAACUAAAGUUGGAGAAACUGUCACCCGCAAGCCACCUAUGUGCAAAGCACGUCGGGAGAACCGGUCUCGCGUAAGCGUACGCGUAAUGUCGGUCCGGGCCGCUUCGUCCAACAAUACCGCCGAACCAAAGUAUGACAUGCUGGUAAGCAGUAUGACUUAUAUCGCCCACAACUCACUUGUGUUCUACUCGUGCAUAUAACAUCAACACAUAAAACCUAGGCUCGGAUGCCACUGUUGGGAACGUAGUAAUUUCAAAAAAUUUCCUACGCACACGCAAGAUCAUGGUGAUGCAUAGCAACGAGAGGGGAGAGUGUGAUCUACGUACCCUUGUAGAUCGACAACGGAAGCGUUUGGUUGAUGUAGUCGUACGUCUCCACGGCCCGACCGAUCAAGCACCGAAACUACGGCACCUCCGAGUUCUAGCACACGUUCAGCUCGAUGACGAUCCCCGGACUCCGAUCCAGCAAAGUGUCGGGGAAGAGUUCCGUCAGCAUGACGGCGUGGUGACGAUCUUGAUGUACUACUGUCGCAGGGCUUCGCCUAAGCACCGCUACAAUAUUAUCGAGGACUAUGGUGGUAGGGGGCGCCACACACGGCUAAGAAUAUGAUCAUGUGGAUCAACGUGUGUCCCUAGGGGGUGCCUCUGCCUCCGUAUAUAAAGGCUCAAAGGGGGGUGCGGCCAGCCAGGAGAGGCGCGCCAGGAGGAGUCCUACUCCCUCUGGGAGUAGGAUUUCUCCCCCUUUCCUAGUUGGAAUAGGAUUCGCGGAGGGGGGAGAAGAGGAAGGGGGGUCGGCCCCCUCUNNNNNNNNNNNNNNNNNNNNNNNNNNNNNNNNNNNNNNNNNNNNNNNNNNNNNNNNNNNNNNNNNNNNNNNNNNNNNNNNNNNNNNNNNNNNNNNNNNNNNNNNNNNNNNNNNNNNNNNNNNNNNNNNNNNNNNNNNNNNNNNNNNNNNNNNNNNNNNNNNNNNNNNNNNNNNNNNNNNNNNNNNNNNNNNNNNNNNNNNNNNNNNNNNNNNNNNNNNNNNNNNNNNNNNNNNNNNNNNNNNNNNNNNNNNNNNNNNNNNNNNNNNNNNNNNNNNNNNNNNNNNNNNNNNNNUCUCCUUGUCCUAUUCGGACCAAGGGAGGGGAGGGGCGCGCGGCCCAUCUCUGGCUACCUCUCCUCUCUUCCACUAAGGCCCACUAAGGCCCAUAUAGCUCCCGGGGGGGGGGGGUUCCGGUAACCUCCCGGUACUCCGGUAAAAUCCCGAUUUCACCCGGAACACUUCCGAUAUCCAAACAUAGGCUUCCAAUAUAUCAAUCUUUAUGUCUCGACCAUUUCGAGACUCCUCGUCAUGCCCGUGAUCACAUCCGGGACUCCGAACAACCUUCGGUACAUCAAAAUAUAUAAACUCAUAAUAUAACUGUCAUCGAAACCUUAAGCGUGCGGACCCUACGGGUUCGAGAAUAAUGUAGACAUGACCGAGACACGUCUCCGGUUAAUAACCAAUAGCGGGACCUAGAUGCCCAUAUUGGCUCCUACAUAUUCUACGAAGAUCUUUAUCGGUCAGACCGCAUAACAACAUACGUUGUUCCCUUUGUCAUCGGUAUGUUACUUGCCCGAGAUUCGAUCGUCGGUAUCCAAUACCUAGUUCAAUCUCGUUAUCGGCAAGUCUCUUUACUCGUUCCGUACUACAUCAUCCCGCAACUAACUCAUUAGUUGCAAUGCUUGCAAGGCUUAAGUGAUGUGCAUUACCGAGAGGGCCCAAAGAUACCUCUCCGACAUUCGGAGUAACAAAUCCUAAUCUCGAAAUACGCCAACCCAACAUGUACCUUUGGAGACACCUGUAGAGCUUCUUUAUAAUCACCCAGUUACGUUGUGACAUUUGGUAGCACACAAAGUGUUCCUCCGGCAAACGGGAGUUGCAUAAUCUCAUAGUCAUAGGAACAUGUAUAAGUCAUGAAGAAAGCAAUAGCAACAUACUAAACGAUCGGGUGCUACACUAAUGGAAUGGGUCAUGUCAAUUAGAUCAUUUAACUAAUGAUGUGAUCCCGUUAAUCAAAUAACAACUCUUUGUCCAUGGUUAGAAAACAUAACCAUCUUUGAUUAACGAGCUAGUCAAGUAGAGGCAUACUAGUGACACUCUGUUUUGUCCAUGUAUUCACACAUGUAUUAUGUUUCCGGUUAAUACAAUUCUAGCAUGAAUAAUAAACUUUUAUCAUGAUAUAAGGAAAUAAAUAAUAACUUUAUUAUUGCCUCUAAGGCAUAUUUCCUUCAUCCUAUACAUAUUCUAACGCGUGCUGGUCGCCGAUCUUGCUGCUUAGGGUUGCUGCGGGUUUGAUCAGCUCCAUAUGGGGGAGACAGAGAGAAACGUAGGGGCGUCGACGCGGCGAGCGGGUGGAGAAGAGACCGGAGGAGAGAGUACAUCACAUAUAUGUUUUUUUCGUUUUUUCUUCACACUUUUUAUUUGGUUUUUGCAUGGCUUUUUUCCUAUUGUUUAUAUUUUGAAAAAUUGUAAAUAUGUGUACGAAAAAACACUUUACAUUUUUUUGAAAUAUGUUAAUCAUGCAUUUGCAAGUGUUAAACGUGUAUAUAAAAAUGUUAAUCAUGUGUACGAAAAAUGUUUGUGAUUUAACAAGUCUGGCACGUUUAAAAAUGUUUACACAAUGUGAAAAAUGUUUGAGUACUUUUAAAAAUACACCCAUGAGUUUAAAAAAUGUGUUUGUGACAUUUGCAAAAAAAAACAAUGUAAAAGCAAUGUUUUCAUAAUGUGAAAAAAAAUUGUUUCGUGCCAUUAAAAAAUGUACGCAGCAUUUUAGAGCAAAAAUUCAAGCAAUUCAAAAAAACAUGCAUCACAUUUAAAAAAAUGUAUAUACAAUGUAUAUGAAUGUUCCUGUAGGUUUAAAAAAAUGCUUAUUUCCAGUAAAAAAAAUGUUUGUGUAGUUUAUAAAAAUUCUUAUUGACACUAAAACAAUAUACAGUAUGUAUUUGAAAAAUAUUACCGUCUAUCCAAAAAGGUGUUCAAAACAUGUAUUUAAAAAAUGUACAUCAUCUACUUGAAAAUGUUCAAAGUGUAGAAAAACAAAAUGUUUCGCAUGUACGCUAAGAAUGCACAUUGUGUACUCACAAAAGGUAGGCAUGUGCAAAAAAGGAAACCGGUUAAUACCAACGAAGAAACAAACAAGAAAAGCAAAGAAAACCGAGGAUUAUGAAGGAAAUAAAAAAAAACAAAAAGAACCAAAGUAUAAACGUGGAUUGAUUAGGGGUGGUUAAUUAGAGGCGGGCCUCCUAAAAAUUAGAGGGGCGAUGAUUAGUGUUGAUUUGGGUGGGGCCGCCUCCCUCUUGCCUUGCCUAGCCUUUGCAUAUGUGUGCGCUGGAAGUCUCGCCUAGCCUUUGCAUGUGUGUGCGCUGGAAGUCUCACCCGAUGGGUCUUGAUGGAAAGACUUGUCGGCUGAUUAGUUGUGCUGGACUAGAUCGCCCGUUGUAGCGGCCGAUCGCUAGGAAGUCGUUUCGGCAACACUGACAGUACAAUCACGUCACGUCGUCUUAUGUUAUUAUUUUUAGCAUCAAUACAGACACAAGCGCUCAUAUACACGCGCAUACAUUCACUUCUAUGAACGCACACACGCACACCCUACCUCUAUGAGCACCUUCGAGUGACUGAGCCGCCAUAUCAUCUUGAGACUUACGAAGUCACCGUAGACGCCUCGUCGUCAACGGAACGUCUCCUCCCAUUGACAGCGCAUCAUCGGAAAUUCUGAAAUAAAUCCAGAAAUAAUGCGAGCAUCAGGAUUUGAACCUUGAUGGGUUGGGAAUAUCACUGUCCAUCUCACCAACUCAAUCACAGGUAUGUUUUAGUACAAGUACUGUUUUGUGCUUCGGACUCGACUUCAGUGACCGUCGGUAUAUUUAUUUUGGAUUAUUAUUUGAGUCAACUUUUUUUAGAUGAAUUAUUUUUGAGUCAAACUUGGUGGGGAUGCCGUGAUGGCCCGCCAGUCGGCGGCAGCCCACGAGGUGAGACCGGCCUGGCCCGUAAAGUAACACGGGCAACCCAACCCACCACCUACGUCGUCGUCUCCGCCGCCUUGCUCUAUCCAUCCGUCGGCGAUGCAGGCCGCCGUCGCCUUGAGCCAGAGCCAGGCGUCCCUUCUCGUCCGGCGGCUCCCAAGGCCUUACCACUACGCGUACGUAUCCGCCACUCGAUUCCUCUCGCCUCAAUUCCAUGGCUCCAUCUCUGCCUUUUUGACCCCUGCAUCUGCAUGUGGUUGGUGGAGGAAUUCCGCAGCGGCGGGCCGGACCCGGAUGAUGGCGUGCUGCUGCUAGCACGACGAGGCGUGUCGCUCCCGCUCCCGCGGCUGCGGCUGCGGCGCGCCUGUUGCUCCGCGAGCCUACCCGUCGGUACCGGCGCCGGCGCCGGCAGUGGUAACAACCCCGGCCCCUUGCUCCACCUCAUGUUGGUUUACCAUGUUCGUGUUACUUUACCCGUGGCAAGGUAACAAACCCCCCUGGCCGAUUGCUUUGGAAGCUAGGCUGGAGAGGGUACCUUUGCAGAUUUACCCCCUUCAGGCAAGGGCAAAAUUUUCAGAUCAGAUUAUAAAUUUGUUGGCAGUGCCAAGAUAAGUGGAAUCAGUUACUAGGCCAAGGCUAAAAUUUGAGAUAAUAUUAAGGAGCACCUGUAUAUGCUUCAGUUAUUAACUGAAAACAAAUUCAGUUUUACUGGAAUCCCUCCCCCUCGUAGCCUUCUUCUUUCUCCCACCCGCCCUGCCUAACUGCCUUCUGCCCUCCGACGCCUGCCUAACCGCCUAGCGCAGCCGCCACCCCCCGGCCAUCGCUGUUAAAUAGCAAAUGCGAUAAUAAUAAUAUGGUUUGGUGGUACAAAUGUUUCAGUUCAUUCGCUAAUGCUAGUUAUCGGCUUACCGUGGUUAAAAAGAACAAUUCCGUGUGUUCAUACUUCAUAGUUCACGCGCGAAAGAAAUUUGCAUUUUUUUGAAUGAUGGAAAAUGAUGUGGAAAUCAGAAUCCUGGCCUUCAGGAUAGACGGUAUAUGGGAAUACAGGACUGCGUGCAAGUUUGAAUAAUGGGACCUAAUGGGCGGUCCUUCCCUUACAAAUGGUGUAUGGCUCCCAAAUACGGAGAUUUCAGUACUAAAACAAGUAGUAGAAGCAAUCCGUGCAAGCGGCAGUACCAAGGGUGAUUGAUGCAAUAGGAAGUCACUUCCAUGUUUGCCGUAUUAAUUUACAGUACCGCUGAGUCUCGGCUUGGAAGUUGCCAUGCUGCUCUUAAUUGUUUGCGGUAUCUGUUCUUGACCUGCAUAUCUGGAAUCAAAUGCCAUUAACCAGACGAGUUUUCUUAUUUGUAAGCAAGGUUUGGGAGAAUCAAAUAGUACCUUUUUGCCAUUUUGUUUGUGAGAUAAUUAAAAGUGUCAUAGAAACAAGCAGUCCUGUCCGGUGAAAUUAAUCAACACAUAUUCCCUGUCUGUAUUGGGCAUAAACCAGGCAUAUCUGCUUAAUUCGGUCCUUGCUAUGUAUCCAGAAACUGGUUGUGAAAAGCUAUUGCCUAGCUUCGUUGACCUACCAAGAUAAACAUAGGUCGAUUCUAGGUACGAAAUCCACUUUUCAUAUUGUGAGACAUUGAGAACAGAGCCGUCACUCUGUUGAUAAGCUGUGCAGGUGCAUGUUCGAGUUAUCGAGUAUCGGACUCCACAAGGCGCCCAGGUUGUUUCUUCUAUCAAAAAAAGAUGCCGCCAAUGCCAAGGGCUCCUGGCUGGUCUUGUUUGUUUUUUUUCUAAAUAUUGUGACUUUGAAUAUAAUUUCCUUUAAUUUUUAAUCAUUCUGCGUUUCAAGAACCACAGAUAGUAAAGUGGAUUUGUAAAUUAUUUUUGUCUUCUACUCCCUCCGUCCCAUAAUAUAAGAGCGUUGUGUCAAAAACGCUCUUAUAUUAUGGGACGGAGGGAGUAGAUUUGUUUAUCAUUAAAAGGCUGCGUACUAUAGACCCAAAGUGGCCAGACCCUUCCCCGGACCUUGUUCAAGCGGGAGCUACGUGCACCGGGCUGCCCUAGAUUUGUUUAUCAUUAUGUGUUAUGUAUUGCUGAACCAGUGGUUAAAACAAGAAAUUAAAUGGUCAUUUCAUUUAUUUAGCUGCAGCAGACUCUUGAUGAAUUAUUAUUUGCAAAUUUUGCAAUUGAAGCCUGUCUUUCGCCCAAUUGCUAGUGGUAGAGAUUGAAUUGUCAAAGUAUAGCGUAACUUGUCGUGAAUGAACCUGGAACUCGUGCCUUUUAUCAUUUCCUUGGGUGCUGAAUACUUUUCUUGCUCACUGCUCUUAUGUCACUUCAUGAUUUUUUUUCUUUGUAGAGCAUGUCCCUGUAUUCCCAAGACAAAAAACAUGGGAUCCUUACAAGCUUCUUGGUGUUGACCAUGAUGCAUCUGAAGAAGAGAUCAAUAGUGCAAGAAACUUCCUCCUUCAACAAUACGCUGGGUAUGAAGAAAACGAAGAGGCAAUUGAAGGUGCCUAUGAUAAGAUAAUGAUGAAGAGCUACUCACACCGUAAGAAGUCCAAAAUCAACCUGAAAAGGAAAUUAAUUAAGCAAGUGGAAGAAUCCCCAUCAUGGGUUAAGUCACUGCUUGGACACUUUGAGGUGCCAUCGAUGGAUGUUGUGUCAAAAAGAUUUGCUCUUUUUGGAUUUAUUGCUGGGUGGAGCAUCGCAACUUCUGCUGAGACUGGACCUACCUUCCAGGUAUAUAUAUGCUUUUAAUGAUUCUCACAACUGAUUCAAUAAUCCUUUUUUCCUAAGCAUUGAACCUGUUAGAGAUUACUUACAGCCUAAGACUGUUGUUUAUUUCUCUUGCGGCUGGGGAUUGGAACCAUUAGGCAGAAAAUAUCCUCGGUUUGCUGCGUGGACUGUCUAUGCAUUUCCUACAGAGUGUAAUGGAACCCAGCUCAGCUCCGCCGAGCCAAAAGAAAAGCACAGAACAGCCGGAGGCGAAGAGUAGAGUAUAGCCAAGGGGCUUUCGUCAUCCGUAAAGGACCUAAUGGAAGACCGUGCUCCGAAGUGUGCACUUCGAGUUUUGUUUUAAGAACACUUGACCUACCUAUAAGAUAGAUUAAGCCUCCUAUUAUACCAAUUAUAGGUCUUGCUGGUUCUAACAAUCUUUUUAACAUUGAUGGUUUUCUCUUGCAGCUUGCACUGGCACUCGUGUCAUGCAUAUACUUUCUCAACGACAAGAUGAAAAACCUUGCCAGGGCGUCUGCCACAGGGUUAGUUAGCACCUGCAUAGCAACAUACGAGUACUCCCUUGGUCGUUAUCAGUCGCACACGUAUAGGGCUUUUAAUCCUCCUCCGUACUUGCAGGCUUGGACUCUUUGCGGGUGGCUGGAUAGUAGGUUCGCUGGUAGUCCCAGUGAUCCCGGCAUUUAUUUUCCCGCGUACUUGGUGUCUGGAGCUCCUUACUUCGCUGGUCGCUUAUGUAUUUCUAUUCUUGGGUUGCACUCUCGUCAAGUGAAAUCUGUGACACUUGAAACCGUUGUUGUUUCUGCGAGAUUUUCUGUUGCCGACGUUGCAACUCCCUUUUGACCCGUGGGUAUAGAAGAUGACCUUUUGACAAGCCGAAACUUGGCCCACUAUUGUUCAGAUCCCAUGAGGUGUUGUUGUUAUCUCUAGUCUAAGCGAGCUUAUAUUGGUCAGUAUUGUAUUGUAUUGUAUUGUAUUGUUUUGUAGGCAGUUUCUGCAAGCUGCUGCUAGUUCUAGAGUGCUUGGGCAUGCUACCGUUGUAACUAUAAUAAACAGCUGCAGAUGUGCUUAUCGCUUGUUUGUGCUUGUGAUUUCACGGGCGGGCAUCCACCGUGUGUUUGUUGUGAGAUUUGUUCACCUGUGUGGCUGUGUUGCAGUGCAGUUGCAUCGAAAUGUUUUUACUUUGCUACUAAUCACAUCCCCGCGGAUAACGCGGUGAUUUCCAUCAGCUGCUGUUUGGAGCCGACGUUUUGGUUUCUCAUGUACUAUGAAUAUGUGAUGCUUGUCGGAUAUCUUUGCUGUGCCACAGUAGAGAAAAAAAGUUUCACAACAAAACGUCAAGGAGCCUGCCCAAACUUAUGCAGUCCAAAAGCAACAGCGUAAAACACUGGCUGAUUCACACUCUGAAGCUCGGCCCUGAUAUUGUGCUUUAGCAAACAGUUAUGGUUAUAUAAGCUCACAUAUUAAGACUUUGAGGUGCACCCCUAUGGUUUCUAAAGUUCAAAAAAAAAAAACACUCAUACUGACAGAUUCAGUUCGACAGCGCGCCUUUCAACAACAAAUAAGUAACAACGCAAACAACUUUAUGCUUGAAAUCACAAUCAACCAAAGGCGCGUAGCCUUGAAUUUCAUUAUUUCAGCCCAUCGAAACUUGGCUAGAUGCUAAGAAUAAAAAAGAGACACAAAAAAGAAAUAAGCGCCCGCUAGGCUUCUUGUCCUCACAGCCGCACUAGGGUUGCGGCCCACGAGACUAUUUGACCGGUGACCAUUGACUAUUCAUCCUUGGCAUCCAAGCAUUGACCGCUGACGAUGGCUGUUGACCAUUGAAUUUUGGGGAAAAAAUUAUAAAGUUGGAAAAAUCAUGGAGUUGAUUUUUUUUACAAUUUUUUUAAAGUUCAAGAAUUUGAAAAAUGUUCAUGAAUCCAAAUAAAUCUUCAUUUAAAAAAUGAAUAAAAAAUAUAUUCAUGAAUUUGAAAAGUGUUAACGUCUUUAAAAAAUGUUCAUGAAUUUGAAAAAAGUUCGCAUAUUUGAAAAUGGUCACAAAAAGUGGAAAAAAUUCACGAUUUUUUUAGAAGUUCAAGAUAUAAGAAAUUUCAUAAUAUUUUUUAAAAAGAAAGAAAAAACAAAACGAAAAAAUGAUGAAAGAAAGACCAUAGAAAACCCAGCCCAAAACCAUUGGGAGGAGAGAUAUUGGGCCGCACCAUACUUAGAUCUUGUGAGCAGGGGGUGUACGCCCUGCGCGAAGACAACAUCUCGCUUAUGGGGAGUAUAGCAUGUCUCUCGCCUGAAGAAUCCCCCUUCUCCAUGUAGCUAUCACGCCGAGCCAUUGUUCGUGUUUUUUUUCGUGUGCUGUGUUUCGCUACCGACACUUGUGGUUUUGUUCAGUCAUUGUACUAGUUUUGUCUCAUUUUUAUUUUUUGAUUCUUUUAUUAUUUUGUUUGGGUUUCUUUGUGUCUUCACUCGCAUCUUCGUCGGCUAACGAGGGCAUGUUGCGGUGGCAUCAUGGCUUAUGUUGCAAAUGACGGUUCCAAAUCUUCGAGUGCUACAUGGGCCAAGCACUCGUCGUGCAAACCUUCGCGCACAACAAGAUCCAUUUGGUAAACCUUUGAGGACAACAUGGCCCAUGUGGCAAACCUCAUCAAUUGGAUUGGACCAAGCACAACACGAGUCAGAUCGAACGACUAUCCCAUGAUGGAUCCAACGGCUUGCGAGCCAGUUAAUCUAUUCAAAAGAUCAGCUGGACGGCGCCUAGCCUUGAAUUUCUUUUUGAGGGGUUGUCGGGCCUUGAUUUACUGCAUUUUUGGGUGUGUUUCCAGCCUGAAAAUAGCCCGGCCCGGCCCACAAAGAAAAGAAGAAAAUUCUAACCUAGCCACCCACCCACUCGACCUCCGAUUCUGCCGGCGGCGGUCGGUCGGUCGCUGCAGGCUGCAUCUAGCUUGGGCAUAGCAUAGCCGGCGGGGACCUCCAGGCGGCGGGGCACCUUCGUUUCGUCGCUCUCUCCUCUGCUUCCUGGAGGUCCAAGUCGUCCUCUCCUUCCUCGCUCGCCGGUCAAGAUCUCCACUUCGCACUCGCGGGCAUCCUCGGGAGAGCAAACUAGAAGAAGAAGAAGGUAAUCCGCUGUUCCUAGCUAGCUUGUAUGCGUUUCUGCUUUUCCAAAAUGGCGAAUUUACAUAGUAUCUGUGUCGGUGCAUUUUAGGACCGGACUGCCGUGUGGGUGCAGUGAAGAUCCCUUUGACCAGUAACGAACGAAUCCAUAGCUGCUGCUUGCCGUGAGGGAUGGCCGGAAGCGGCCUGUGGGUAGUUGGAUUGGCCUCCCUUCUUGCACUCCCUGGGAUAUUCGUCUCCAUCUCCGUCGAGGCCAGCCCGGGAGAUGCUGAUCCGCACUACAGGUGAGGUGACACACACACACUUCUUGACUCAUCUCCUGUUGCAGUUGGUUAAAAAUAUUAAAUCUCCUUUUCUAUCUCGAAAUCGUCAUAUCUUAGCCUUGUUGGUACUGGAAUCCAUAAUUCACUAUCCUGCAGUUUGAUUCCAAAUAUAUGAACCGGAAAACUGGAGACCGUGGAUCUAACAUGGUUAUUGUUUGACUUCGCCUUGACAAUGGAAUGAUAUAGAACCUUAAAGUAUUGUGGAUGCAUUGUUUUUAGGAUAGAAACACAAUUUGUAUUCCUGGCCGACAGAUGGACAAUUAAUCAAGUUUCAGCUACCACACAAUACUUACUGAUUAAUCUUUGCCACCUAACGUACAAGGCCCCGCCCCCCGCGUCGCUCCAACAGGGGCGACACGGGCGGCUAACCCUAGCCGCUGCCGGCGGUCCCCCUCCCCUUUCUUCUCCUCCUCGUCGCCACUAGAGGAGCCGCCGAUGCGUCGCACGGCUGCCGAGGAAGGUGGCGGCGAGGCCUUCAUCGUCCCUUCGCGGAGAUCUGGAUCCACGGGGCGGCGGCCCCUGCUGGUUCGGCGCCGCCGUUCGCGCUCUGGACGGUGUGCGCAGGGACUCUGCCCGGCGUCCUCAACCGCUCGGGUGGUGGGGAGUCGGCGCUUGGCGGCGGCAGUUCGGGGGCCUUCAUCCUCGCCAGAUCUGGAGGCCUGCUACUCCAUCCUUCCCGCUCCUUCCCCUUUGCGCUUGUGGCCGGUGGAUGCUGCUGGUUCCGGUGCUUCUGGGGAUGGUGGUGCAGAUUGGGACCGGGGGAAACCCUAGGCCGGCUGGUUCGGCUCGACAGCGGCGUCGGCUUCGGGCGACGCAUCCUUCCUAAAGGCGGUGUCGUGGUCCUUAUUCUUGUCACCUCCGGUCCUCUCCCGGGUGAAAACCCAAAAUCCGGUCUGGAUUGGGCAGCGGUGGCGCCAUGGGCGUCAUCCCCUCCUUGGAGGCGUUGCCUGGGGAGCUAGGAUUCGGGUGUGGGCUCAUGAAGGUGGGGGAUUUGGCUGCCGGCUGGAUUUCUGCAGCUGCUCGCGGCGGCUUUCAGGUUGUGCAGAGUGCCCCUUGUAUCUUGAGGGCGUUUCCUGUUUUUCGUGUUCGCGUCGGAGGAGCGGCGUGGCAUCUGGUACGUCGACAACGGCGAGUCUCGGCGGCAUGGAGCAGUAGGGGUAUCGCCGGUGGGCGUGUGAUGAUGGACGAGCGCAGGAUGGUGGCGCUGUCUGGCGUCGUGGUGGCGUCGAUGGCAGAGAGGCCUGGCACGGUUCAUGCAACAGUACAGCUCUGAAGAUGGAUUGAUGGUACGUGGCUGCGGCGGCCUCAUACCCGGCAGGGGGCCUGGUUGAAGAGCACGCCGGACUGGUGGGUGCCCAUACCCGGAAGGAGUCCUGGUUGGGACCUCAGGUCUCAGAUGUUAGGUUUGGCUGCGAGAUCUGUUUGGUAUUAGGCCCAGACCAUCAGCGCCCCUUCAUCAGUUAGAUAGGAGUAGCGACAGAGGUUGCGAAGAUGGUGGCUUUGGUCUUACUGUUGUACGACUUUGUAAGGUCUUGUGUUAUAAUCAAUAAAGUGUCCGUAUGCAUCGUCCAGAUGCAGAGGCCGGGGGUAUUCCUCCUUUUCAAAAAAAACACAAUACUUACUAGCGCAAGUAGUUAAUAAAUUGGUACUCCCUCCGUCCGGAAAUACUUGUCCUCAAAAUGGUUGUAUCGACUUAUUUUAGUUAUAGAUACAUCCAUUUUAUCCAUUUCUAGGAUAAGUAUUUCCGGACGGAGGGAGUACAAAGGUGGAUUCAGUUAAAUUGGCCGACAGAUGAACCUUUAGAUUAGAUUAGAUGCACAAAGAUUAAGUGGUGAUACAUGAUUGGUAUUCUUGCCAUGGCAAAUUAGUCCGUCAUACUUAUUAGAUGGAGAGAGAGACUGCAGGUCAGACAAUUUACUAUUAGAUUCAUAGGAGCACUAGCUAGAGGUUAGAUGCAACUCUGGUUACUAUACUACCGCACCUACUUAAGAGCAAUUUAAAAGUGUAUAAACAUAUCAUACAUAUGUUGGUAAUGGUUGUUACUAUAUGUUUGAUCCUUUCGUGUCACUUCAUUGUGAAAUACAGUAUGUUUGUGUUCUCGUGCUGACUUGACUGAAAUUAUUUAUGUUAAGAAUUGCUAUAAUGGUUGUUGGUUGUUACAAUAUAAUUGAUCCUUUCUUGUUACUUCAUUGUGACUUGUGACAUACUCCCUCCGUUCCAAAAUAGAUGACCCAAAUUUAUACUAACUUUGUACUAAAGUUAGUACAAAGUUGAGUCAUCUAUUUUGGAACGGAGGGAGUAUGUUUUUGUUUCUUGCCGACUUGACUGAAAUACUGGGUUAGCACUUCCCUCCUAAUCCAAAAGAAGGCACACACUCUUUUUGGAAGUCAAGUUUGACCAUGAUGAUUGAACUAAUAAAAUGUGGGUUAUGUGUCACAAAAAUUAAACCAUUAAAUUUUUAUCCGAAAAAAGACAUAGUAUGUCUUUUUAUACGAUUGUCUGAUUAUGAAAAUGAUAACAAACUAACUCAUUUUUGCAGCAGUUGCUGUGCAUCUACUGACCACCUUUAGCUAACUAUUGUGACAUCGUUGCCUCAGUUAUUGUUGGAAUUUUUUCAUUUUAUCGGUCUUGAUUUGUGUGACAUAUCGUAGAACUAUUUGUUAGGAGUUAUGCAUUGUGUUAGGGGCUGUACUUCAUUAUGAUAUCACAUUGUUUAGAAGUUUCUGGUAACUUGCGUCGUGAUUGACCUGCAGAACUUGUGUGGGGGAGUGUCAGAAUACGGGGAUUAUUGGAGGCAACAUCAUCAGUCACUGUCAGUCCCGGGAGAACGACAGCAUAUCUGCUGGAAGUUCUUGGUACACACAGGAGGCUCUUCGUGUGCAGUGGAAGCAACUAAACUGUAUGACAGACUGCCGCUACUACUGCAUGAUGCGAAGAGAAGAGGAACGGCGAUUAGGUGGCCUGAGCCCUGUUCAAUAUCACGGAAAAUGGCCCUUCAAACGUGUUUCUGUCUUCCAGGCAUGUAACAUUUGGCUUGUAUGUUGAUGAGUAGUGAGACUAGUAUUUCACCAUGAUGACUAGUUGACUACUACUAAUAACUUGUUUGGCAUUUAUUAUCAGGAACCCCUGUCAGCUGCACUGUCUGCUCUCAACCUAUUGAUGCACUUCACUGGCUGGCUUUCGUUCUUCCUGCUAGUGAAAUACAGAUUACCUCUUAGACCUCAGACGAAGAAGACGUACUACGAAUACACUGGCUUAUGGCAUAUCUAUGCAAUAUUAUCAAUGAAUGCAUGGAUCUGGAGCUCUGUAUUCCAUACCAGGUGCACAUUUGCUCAAUCAAAGCUUGGGCAUGCUGCUGUCAUAAUAAUAUAUUUAAUAUCUUGCUCAGCAUCAUUCAUUCUUCAUUUUGUAGGGAUAUUGACUUGACUGAGAAAUUGGAUUACUCUUCAGCUGUGGCCGUACUUGGCUACUCUUUAAUCCUUACACUGCUAAGAAUUUUUAAUGUCAAGGAGGGGGCUACCCGGGUGAUGUUUGCUGCACCUAUUCUAGCAUUCGUCACAACACACAUCUUGUAUCUUAACUUCUACGAGCUUGACUACGGUAAAGUUCCUUUUGCAUCUCCUAGAGUAUUUUUUACCUUGCAUACAGUUGCACAAACAGAUUAAUUCAUGUGCAUCUUCUGUGUUUAUAUGCCUGCCUUUUCUUCAGGAUGGAACAUGAAAGUUUGUGUGGCGAUGGGAGUGGUUCAAAUUGUCGCAUGGGCAAUCUGGGCUGGUGUGACCCAUCAUCCGUCACGGUUGAAGCUUUGGGUCGUUGUGUUCGGAGGAGCUCUAGCUAUGCUUCUUGAGGUGUUUGACUUUCCUCCAUACAAGGGGUAUGCCGAUGCGCACUCGCUGUGGCACGCGAGCACCGUUCCCCUCACCUAUCUUUGGUGGAGCUUCAUUAAAGAUGACGCAGAGUUCCGCACCUCCACACUCACACUGGUUAAGAAGGCCAGGUGAAUUAAAGGUCAUUAUGUUGUUCGGUUCUCUCAAGGCAACACAAGCAAAAGCUCGGUAUGCUCGGUAUUCCUGGGAUCGAUCAGCAUCUUGUUUCUGUGGCUCUAGCCCUCCUGACUUUUGUUUUGAUCUAUAUGAGGAAUAGUUGUGUAGUAGAAAAAGUGACAUUAUCUUUUUCCGUGCCCGUUGAGACAGUUGAGCCUGUGAGUUUCAAUAGAAGCUUAUAUGAAGCUAAGCAUUGCAGAAUGAGCCGUCAGAGAUGAUGAGAUAUUUGUAGGGAAUGUGUGCUGAUUUCUUCAUAGGACUGCUUGUUUCUAUGACACUUUUAUAUCUCACAAACUGGCAAAAAGGUACUCUCUCCGUCCGAAAAUACUUGUCAUCAAAAUGGAUAAAAAAGGAUGUAUCUAGAACUAAGAUAUGUCUAAAUACAUCGAAAAUGCAUAGGAGCUCUCGGGUGCUACGCCCACCUAUAUUCAAAAAUAAUUUAGUAAUUCAAAAAAAGUCAAAAAAUCCCGGCACUUUUUAUGAAAUCAAACAUGACCAGGUAUUGCACUUGUAUAAAAAGAUUUAAAUAGGAAAUGACUUUUAUUGUAUCCGGGGUCAAAGAUUUCCCAAAAAAAUGCUAGAUACAAGUACUAUUCAUGCUAUAUUGUUGUCAUAAAUUUGUUUUUUUUUUGCCCUGAAGUCAACGAGAAUUAUUCCUUGGCCAAACAUUUUAUAUGAGUACAAUACCUAGUCAUAUUUGGUUCAAAAAUAUAUCCAAGAUUUUUUUCGCUUUUUUGAAUUACUAAAUUAUUUUUUAAUAUAGGGGGGUGAAGCACCCGAGUGCUCCUAAUCCGCUUUCCUAGAUACAUCCCCUUUUGUUUAUUUUGAUGACUAGUAUUUUUGGAUGGAGGGAGUAGUAUUUGAGUUUCCCAGUUCAUGACAGUUGGUUCCAGCUUGUAUGCAGGUCAAGAAAAAAGAAAAGAAAAAAAAAUACUUACUUGCAAACAUAUAACAACAGCAGCAUGGUAGAGGCAACUGGAAAUUAAUACAACAAACAUGGAGGUGACGACUUCCUAUUGCAUCAUCGUAUUUGGGAGCCACACACCAUUUUUAUUAAGGGAACAAAUGGCUACACAUUAGCUCCAAUUAUUCAAACUUCCACGGAGUCAUAUACUACUGUCUGUCUAUGAUUCUGAUUUCCACAUCAUUUUCCAUCAUUCACAAAAUUGCAAUUUCCUUUCCUGUGUGAACCACCACCACAGCACAUAAUUGUUUUCCUUUUAUAACCACGAUAACUAGGAUUAGCGAAUGAACUGAAAACAGUGACAAGAGCUGAGUCCCCCAACUCAUCACAUUUGCUGUUUAAAACAGUGAUGGCGGUGGUCGAGGUAGUGGGCGGUGGCGGUGUUAGGCGGUUAGGCAGGCAUUGGAGGGUGGGGCGGCACAGUGGGAGGAAGAAGAAGGCUACAACCAGAGGGAUUGGACUGAAACCUAUUUGUUUUUCAUCAGUUAAUAACUGAUGCUUAGGUGAUCCUUGAUAUUAUUCUCAAAUUUUACCCUUAGUCUAUCUACUAGUAACUACAAAAAAAAGUUAGGGUGAGUCAUGAACUUAGAGAAAAUAUACAUGGGCCGUUGGAUGUUGCUUUCCGAAGCCCAUCUAGGCCCAAUAAAAACCCUCUUGACGUGAUCAUCACCCAGCUCAUGCCGCCGCCGCAUUCCCCACUCACUCUCCUCCCUCUUGUGCCGACCGAGAACUAACGGCAAGGAGCGGAGGCGGCAGUGCUCUUCGUCUUCGUCCCCAAUCUACCAGCCCACCCCAGUCCCGGGUGCUCCUCGCCGCGGCAGGCAACCGGCUGCUAUUAUCCAUCCAUCGUCCUACGCUAACGCUACCCUACCUCCGGAUUGAAUGGCAGGUCACUGCGAGGUUUCCGCCGUCAAUGUAGCUGAGAAAGGUUCCUACUUGCUCAAGGUACAUGGAUACUCAAGAGGGAAGGAGCUAUUCAGCAAUGGUGAGUGCACGGCUUCUUCCCCUUUCAGUGUUGAAGGCCACAACUGGACUGUGAGGUAUUACCCAAACGGUUAUUUGCCAAAACAUGCCAAUGAGAUAGUUGUUCGCUUGCUUCUUGAUUCAGCUGGUGCCAAGAAUGUCAAGGUGAAUGCCAUAUUUAAGGCCUCUUUUGGUUCAUAGGAUAGGAUUAUCGUAGGAAUAGGAAUUUUGCAGGAAAUGAGAUGACAUGUAUCUCAAAUCCUAUGAGUAGGAAUAGGAAACGAGAUGUUAUUUGGUUGACACCAAAGGAAUUUUUUCAUUGAGUCUAGGCUCAUUUUUAUUUUCCUAUGAAAUGUGAAGGAUAGGAACCAAUCCUAUGUAGGAAUAGGAAUCCAUUUAUAUGAACCAAAGGGCUCUGAAGGAAAAAAAUUUAUAAGAAUCCUAUCCUCUAGAAUUCUUAUGAAAUUUUUCCAAACCAAAGGAGGCCCAGUAUGGUGGCAACCAGUUUGGCUCUGGCUGAGCAGCAUAACUGCAAUGGACUCAAGGAAGCUUGCCUCAAGUUCCUUGCUUCUCCAUCCAAUUUGGAGGCGAUGAUGGCAAGUGAUGGCUACGAGCAUCUGAAAAGCAGCUGCCCAUCUGCCCUUAAGGAGCUGAUUGCUAGGCUCCUGCCGGCUCAAAUGAAAGCGGCCAAGGAUAUUGUCAUGGCACUUUAGUACCUAGCGUGGCCCAUGAUGACCCUACCUGAAUUAGUUAAGUAUAUACUCCCUCCUUUCCCAAAUAAUUGUCUUUCUAGCCAUCUCAAAUGGACUACAACAUACAGAUGUAUGUAGACAUGUUUUAGAGUGUAGAUUCAUUCAUUUUGCUCCGUAUGUAGUCACUUGUUGAAAUCUCUAGAAAAACAAUUAUUUAGGAACGGAGGAAGUAUAUAAUUAUAUAUGCAUGUUUCAUCUUAAUUAGUUCUCUACGUAUGGUAUGGUUGGAUGUGUGCCUCAGGAGAGAAAAAACUGCUAUCUAUGCUACAUUGCUACCUGUUGGCUCUGAAGUUUUAUGUCUGUCCAGUCCAGUGUGUAAGGAACUCUAAUUUAUCUUUCUAGGACCCCUUUAAUCGAAACUGUACUGAGCUACUUAUUUAUAUAUAUAUAUAUAUAUAUAUAUAUAUAUGUAUAUAUAUAUAUAUAUAUAUAUAUAUAUAUAUAUUGCUAGUAGAAUGAGAUUGAUUGGAUCACCCACUAUGUUUUCUAUAUAUUAGCUGAGAAGAGAUGCAUGAAUGCCGAAAGAGGGGUUUGUGCUUGCUUAAUUUUUUUUCUGUGUUCUGCAAGGAAACUUCAACUACCCUGUGUCUCUAUGCAGACUUUUACUUUGCCUGAUCUCCCUUUUUUUUGACAAUCUUACUUUGCGUGAUCUCAUAUAUAGGGAUUUGCAUUCCUCAUGGGAGUUCUGCCUCCCUAUUUUUUCUCAGGGGAGUUCUUUCCUAAUCAAUAGUCGUGUCCCUGAAUCAGGCAUUAUAGUGUUCUUGUUGUUUCUUUUGGACUGCUUAAGGGAGCUCCUCGUUGUACAAGACGAACAAGUGAAUAUGCUGUAUAAUUCAUGUUUGCUCUGAAUUUUUGUUCUAGAGUGUAAUUGUUUGUCCCGGCUUCCGGCUGAGGAAGUGUGGAUAUCAAUCUUGUGUUUUUUGUCUCUUUUCUUUUCAUCUUCAGUGUGACUUAGUCGAUAGCUGAAAUAAUCUUGUUUGAUUAAUAAAGUGUUGGCUCUCCUUUGGUUGGUUGUGAUUCCAAGCAUAAAGCUCUUGAUGUUAGACUGACAACCGCCGGAUUCCGCCAUGUGACGCCUAGGUCUCUCUUCACCUGUCGGAAGGGAUAGUCGAGCUAAGAUCCAUGCAAAAACUCACAUCUUGGCAGGGACCUUCGUCUCCCACAAGUGUCGCCAGCCCUGCAGGUAAAUUUUGUCAUCAGAAAGUUACUCAUCGGCUAACUUCACUAAAAACAAUAAAUAAGAGCUCCUCAAUAUUUCAUUUUGCUCAUUGGCAUGUUUUUACCAGGUUGAGUGGAUGAAGGCUCGAAUACCAUGGAUGAAAUACUUGUUAGGAUAAUCUCCACUGUGUGGGCCCAACGGCCCACCGGGCCCUUGGAUCCGCGCCCUGAUCGGGGGCGCUCAACCCACGCCCUUGGAUCCGCGCCCUGAUCGGGGGCGCUCAACCCACUAUGGGUGACGGGUGACGGGCCCUGUCACCUGCACUAUAUAAAGAGGUGGGGACCGGCGGCUCGCAUCACGAGGUUCGUCACAGUGUCGUACACCCUACCUAAUCCCCUACCAGGUUAGUGCAGUACUGAUGGAAAGCGCCGCCACCACUUUGCCCACUACUCGUAGCCAUACACCAUGGCCACUUUGGCGGGUUCAUCCACCUAUGGAGAAGGUAAACCACCACAAACCACCGAUCUAAUCUAGCCUAGUGAUCCACAGCAUCUAUCAAUGGUAUCAGACAAGGCUAGAAUCUAGAUUAUUUUCGGUACAAAGAAAUCACAGAAAAAAGAUUCAUCCAAGAACCCUAACUAAAGAGGGAAAAGAACUCCUCGUCGAAAAAGUUGCGCCGCCGCAAGGACGCGCCGUUCCUCUCGAUCCAGACGGGCAUCGGCAAGCCGAGCCGUUCGGACGAAGAACACACCCCCACUGGGGCAAAGGGCACCACCAACGAGCCGUUUGACGGCGGCGCGUUCACCCUAGAGGUGCUCGUGCACGCCGGCAAAGGGGUCAGCGGGGGCGCCGCAUCUGGAAACCGCCGUCGCUCGCGCGAAGGGGAGCAGAGGAGUCUCUCUCGCGCUGGGGCACUGGUGGAUAAAAAGAAGAGAGGGAAGGGGAACGGCUCGCGCGGCGCAGUGGCACUCGCCGCCGUCCACGGCGGCCGGAGCGGCCCACCAGGGCGCUGCCCUUUUUUCCUCGACAGAGACGGCGCCGACGGGACAGAAGAAGGGAAAGAAGAAGGGAAACAGGAAAGAAAGAGACAGAGAAGAAGCUAGUCGCGCUGGCGCUGCUCCUCGCCGUCGUCGCCGGCAAGCCGCCGGGCACGGCUUCCUCUCCUUGCGCUCGCUGCCGUCGUGCGGGAGAGGAAGAUGCGGAGAGCGAGAGAGGCGAGCGGCGCGCGAGAGGGGAAAUGACUAGGGUUCCUCUCGCCCCCUCACCGCAUCGGCCGUUUUUGCUCGGGCGGAUCGCGCGCUGGGCCAUCGGAUCUGAUCUGACGGUCACGAGUUAAACGCUAGCGGUGCUGGGCUUCUGGGCCAAAGGGGAGGAGGCCGCGCUGGGCUGAGGCCGGCGGCCCAGGCCGAGGAGAGGCUGGCUCGCGCGAGCACGCGGAGCAGCAGACCUUGGACUGGGCUGUGCUGAGAGUUUUUUUUGUUUGUCUGUCCAGUUUUCUAUUUUAUUUUCUGUUCAAAUUGAAUUCAGCGAAAAUUUGUCUAGAAAAUAGAAAAGUGAUAGAAAUUUUUUUGAAAAGUAAAAUAAAAUUUUCUGAAAAGAAUAAAGUCAUGAGUUUUUUAUUCGAUGUUUUUUGUACAAUUGUGUACAGUUUAAAUCUCUAGUCAGUUGGAACCAACGAGAUAAUUGAUUCGAAAAUAGAAAAGUAAAGAAUUGCUUCUGAACAGUGCUAUUUUCAUGAAGUGUAUUCAUAUUUUCCACUGUGAAAGAUUAAAUUGUUGCUUCUCUAAUUCAAUUUUGAACCAACCGGUUAAAAUUGCUUAGAGAGUAAAAGAGUACAUAAUUGUUUCUGAAUAGAAUAUUAUAAAGUUUCCACUACAAAGUAAAAGUAUUAUCCUCCAACAAAAUUGGAACCAAUGGGAAAAUUUAAUUGAAAGAAUUGUUCUUAGCAAUGUUUUUCCCUGUGGGUGAAAUAAGAUGCAGAUAGUUUCCGAUAUAAUAAAAAAAAGAUAUUUCUUUUAAAAGUUAAAAUAUGGUAUUGUUAUUUUCUGACCAACGUUGAUGAUAACAGUACUAUAAUUCUAUGAGUCUUAUGUUCAAAGCUUAAAUCUCUGAUAAAUUUUGUAUCAAAGUGAUCAUUUUUCAAAGAAGAGUUAAGAUGAAGAAAUGCUCUUGAACUAGAUAAAUGUAUAUUUCUUGUUUCCGCUGCAAUAAAGUUGAUGAUGAUGAUUAUUUCUUAGCAAAGUUGUUUAAUAGAAAUACUAUCAUCACAUUGUCUAUGAGUUAUAUGCAUUAUUUCCAUUUCCGCCCAACGGUGAUAUGGAGUUAAUUUAGAAGAAUGAGUUUUAUUCUAAUUCUACCGCAAUGGUGAUUUAGAGUAUAAAAAGGAAGUUUUACAAAAGUUUAAUGUGCAUAUUUUUUAACCAGACUAACGUAGGGUUUUUUCAUGCUCAUUAUUGUUGAUUAUUGGCUAUGUUUUCUCAGAUUAAAAGUUUUCCAUGCUUUCAUUUGUGAAAGCGAAUGGCUGGGUACUUGUGACCCGAAAGAUGACCAGGAAAGGUCAUAACGUGAGGGAGUAUGUUCUCUCUAAAGAAUGGCUUCAAAAAAAAAUAAUUCUUGGACAUUAAUCCAAGAGAAGAAAACAGAUAGAUCAUUGAGAGUUUUGGUUGACGGAUGUAUUUCAUGUAUUCUAUAUGAAGAAGAUUUUUCAGUCAACAUGAUUUGAGAUGAAACAAGCAACAUGCAUGUUUAAUUUGACCAACGUCGGAUUAAGCAUGUGUGUCAAAGAGCGUUCGGAUUUAUUUCUGAAUUUGAUGAUUGCAUAUGCAGUCAAAAGAGCCAAUUCUGACAUUUAUGUUCCUUACAAGGAAUUACCCGCAUAGCGUGAAAAGAGGACUAUGAUAAAACCCGCAUGGCGGGGAAAAGUCUGGGAAAAUACCUGCAUAACUGGGUAAAGUUGACAUAGUAUUAUGUCAAAAAUCCUAUAUGGCAGGAGAAAUUUUGGCAAAGAACUUAUCCUGUAUGACAGGAGAAAGAUAUGAUGACUCAUGUACGUUUAAUGUGUCCCACUCUCGGAGAAAAGUAUGGAGUAACUAUUAUGCUUUCCUAAUAUCGACCGUACACCUUAUGUGUAACGGUCAUUAAGCAUUCGAUAAAUCCAAAGAGAAUAAAAGUGAGAGACGAACCUAAAGAUAAGAUUGAUAUGCAAGUGUUACUUGCAAAAGUACUAAUGAUAAAGAACUUUGUUGGGUUUCCGAAAUGGAAUGAGGAAAAAGUACUCCCAUAUCAGUUAACAGAUAACUUUAUUUCGUAUGAAGUAAUCAGAUGAAUGAAGUAGAUAAUCAAAGUUUCCUCAACUCAGAAGAGUUAUGAAUGGUUUUCGAAAUUGUGGCAGAAAAGUUCUUGCCAAAUUUCGAGGGGGAGAAAGAAAUAUGAGAUAAAUUAAGAUUGAUGAAACUCCCCUAUACUUUAGAUAACGUGAUGAAGAAUGUGAUCGUCUGGGGGAGUACGACAGUCAUAAUCAUACCCCUAAAGAAAAAACAUAGUUGUAUUCCUGGAUCUUUUACAGUUCCGAAAGCAGACCAAGGAAUACUAAGACGGUGCUUAAAGUGCCAUAAAGAAGAAAGUUUUCACAGAAUAAACCCAAAUAAUAAAGUUUAAAGAUACGCCAUUUUUAGUGAAGAUGGAGUAAUCUGGGGGGGGGGCAUGGUAUGAAAAUACCAAAGACUAUAGAAUUAAUUUGCCUCUUGGCAGUGACAGAGCAACAACAACCCCAUAUGAAAGAAGUGCUAGUACCUGAGACACAGAUGGUCUUAAGGAACGAGAAAAUCAGAUACUUCUGAUUACUAUAAAGUCUAUGUUAGUGAAAUUCAAAUGGAGGUUGAUCCCACCUCAUUUAAAGCGCUCAAUCGAGUUUUGAGACUCAUAAGCAAUUUCCAGUGAAGCCAAAACAGUAGGCUGUAAAGGGUCUAUAAGGUUAGUGUGACUCCAAAGGAAAUAUGUAAAGGUGUAAAGCACGACUUAAAUUGAAAGUUUUUGUGCAUGAUCUAAGUUACAUCAGAUGAAAGUAAAGAACACAAGGGAUACUGCUUCAAGAAGUCUUUUGUGGACUAGAGCAAGUCUCUAGACAGUGGCAUUUAAAGUUAGAAGAAUCAGAUGUUUUUUGGGUUAAAGAAAAUGAGACGACAAUUGUAUUCAUGCAAAGUUAUAGAAUGGGAAAUUCAUUUCCUAAUCCUGUGCAUGUGGAUGACAUCCUACUUGCUAGUGGUGAUGUCAACCUACUACAGGAGGAGAAAAGAAGUUCUUGUCCUCAAAGUUCAAAAGAAUGUUCUUGGUAGAGUGUCUCUCGUUAUAAGUAUCAAGAUUCAUGAAGAAAAGAAUAAAAGGGGGUAUUCGUGAUGUCGAAUGGACAUGCUAAGAAAGGUCUCUAAAGUAUGCAUGCGAGAAAACCUACGCCUGUUCUUAUAGUCAAGGGUAAUGGAACUGAAAACUAUGGUGUUCCAAGAGUUGAUGAGAAAAGAUUGAAAACGGAUAUGGUACCAUAUGCUUCAGUUGUUGGAAGCUCAAUACAUUACCCUGGCACAGUUCACGUAUCCGGAUUGUUUUGGCAAUGUCCAGUCCAUAUAUAGAUCACUGGAAUGAAGUCAAAGAUAUCGGCCUCAUGCUGAAAGAAAUAAGUGCUCUCAAAAGAUUGUGAAUACAAAGACAUGCCUUGUGAAAUGUAUAGCGAAAUCCACAAUUGUCGCUAACUUUCAUACUUGAAGGUUUUUGUGUGGAAAAGCUCCAAAGAAUGAAGCAAUUAUCAUCAAUGUGAUGCAAAGAUAUUUUAUAGCUUGAUAUGAGGCUGAGGGACAGGCAAAAUGGUUAAGGAGACCUGUACCCGGAGUUGAUAAUGGUUGACAACAACGAUAACUAUUUUAAGUCUUUCGCUCCUAUGACAACAAGUCAAGUGUUGAUGCCAAACACACGGACCCAGAGUUAUGCAUUGUAAAGGAGAAAGUCCAAAAUUAUGUAGGAAUGCUUGAAGUAUCAAAGCAACAGACAAGUGUUUGUAGAUCUACUUAUUAAAGGCUUACCGCCCAGUGUGUUCGGAGAACACACAGUCGACAUGGGUUUUAUGGUAUAAUCUAAAAUUUCCGGACAAUAAAAGGGCCCAAGGUUAAAGAAUUUGUUUCAAAAUAGAGAGGUAUAUUGUGGCUGUCUGAUUCUAUCGGCAAUUGAGCUGUGACGAUGAAACAUGUUCUAUGUAUUGAUCCGUUAUGAAACGAGUAAAGUAAAAGUAUAAGGUCAAAAGUAAAAAUUGAGAUCAAGGGGGAGAAUGUUAGGAUGAUCUCCAUCGUGUGGGCCCAACGGCCCACCGGGCCCUUAGAUCCGCGCCCUGAUCGGGGGCGCUCAACCCACUAUGGGUGACGCCCCCUGUCACCUGCACUAUAUAAAGAGGUGGGGGCUGGCGGCUCGCAUCACGAGGUUCGUCGCAGCGCCGUACACCUCACCUAAUCCCCUACCAAUCUAGGGUUAGUGCAGUGCUGAUGAGAAGCGCCGCCACCACUUCGCCCACUACUCUCUACCAUCACCGUCGUAGCCAUCCACCAUGGCCACUUUGGCGGGUUCAUCCACCUAUGGAGAAGGUAAACCACCGCAAACCACCGAUCUAAUCUAGCCUAGUGAUCCACAACAUCUAUCAAUACUUGCCAGCAUACAUCUAAGGAUAGAAGCGGCAGUAAAGCGUUUAACCAUCAGGUUCGUACUAGCUACUAAUCUCAUAUUGCAACUCAUUAUUUUGCAACACUUCAUGCCUAAAGACUGUAACAACUUCCCUAUAUGCAUCUUAAUGAUUAUGAAUCAUAUGUUGCACCCUUUUGCAGUGGCGGGCAAAGUCUGCCACAAGCCAAGGAAACUCCAAUUAUGGGGUCGGGAACGGUGGCGGGGGCAGGAGCUGGAUGGACCACUGGAUCGUUGCACGGCCAUGGGAGCCCCGAUCUAUGGUCACCCCUGAAAAACACAAUAAGGGCCAAUCAAAGAAAGACAACACCAGCAUAAACCAGUCAGCUCUGAAGUUGCAAGGUGCAAUCAGUCUAAGCAACAACACCAAUGACCGGAAAGUUCCCAAGAAAAAGUCAUCCCCAUCUCCUGACAAGAAAAACCAAGUAGCGAGAACAGAGCAGAAACCAAAGGCGGCCGGCCCUAGGCCCUCCCAAGUCAAAGCCGAAGGACAUGGAAAAGAACCAAGGGAAGCAGCGACAACCUGCGGUUCCUGCGGUCACUGCUUGAAACCCACCGCAAAGCAGUUACUGGUCAUUGUAUGAUACAUCCUGUGGAGUUUCUCUUUUCGUUUACACUCUUAUGUGGUUUAUCUCUUACAUUGCUGUUUUACCGGAACAAAAAGUGACCAAUGUAGAAUGUAUUUGGUUUGCGCGAUUGCACACUUACCUAAUAAGAGUGGUUUUUGGUUAGGACUAGGAUCUCUACUGUGCAUUGUGUGCGGGUGUGUAAUAUGUUGUUGCCUCGGUCUGCUGGACGUAAAUGGUUCUGUUGGGACAAAAUUCAAGUUCCAUCUCUGUUCAUAACAAAAUUUGAACUUCUAGCACUAUGUAAAAUAUUAUUAUCGCGACCAUGACAGAACAAACUACUCUCUCCAUCAAAAUAUAUAAGGCCUAAUACGUUUUUCGAGGUAACCUUCGACCAUGAUUUAGAGUAAUAAUAUAUGGCAUGCAUGUUACAUAAAGCAUGUGAAAGAAGUUUCUAAUGAUAUAAUUCAUAUGUGAAAGAAGUUUCUAAUGAUAUAAUUUUUAUACUCCUUCCGUCCCAGAAUAAGUGACUCAACUUUGUAAUAACUUGAAUACAUCUCAUAUAUUAUUAAUCUUACCAAUGGUCAAAGGCAACCUCAAAAAAUGUAUUUAGGACCUAUAUAUCAAGUGUUAGUAGGCUGGAAAAUGAACAGUAACUAUAAUCUCAAGUAAACUUGCAACAAAUCUAAAGAAGAAAGAAAUCUUGAGGUGCUAGCACUAUGCCCAUUGUAUGGUGUUAAGGAUGAAGCUUUUUUCAUGCUUUGAGAGAGGUUUGGCCGCUGGAAUUCUGGUCAUGAAUGGCUAGUACACAUCAAGCUGGUAAUGGGACACGAGCAUCUGAAGCUGUUUCAACUUGCCAGACCAUGUUCGUCAUGCAAAUUUGUUCCAAUAAACCACCCUUCGGAUACAAAGGACCGAUUGAGCAAUGCAAUGCCCAGGCACAGGAUUUCACUCAUAAACCUUUGACAAGCAACACAACUCUUCAAAUUCAGUGCAUAGAGAAACGGAAGACACGUCGAACUGCAACUUACACUCAUAAUCUGAUUGUACAUACCUAGAGCAUUUGGAAAUUUCUCUUCUUUCCAGAGUUUGCACAGUUUGUGCGCACUGGUGAUGCACCGACCCUAGGGAAGAACCACCGUGCAGCUUUGUACUUUCCCGGCGAACCACCGACGGGGCGUUGAAACAGCACCUUCUGCUCCUCCAUGGAAUACACGCCCCAAGUGUCCUGUAUGUAGGUUUCGUCGAAUUCGCUCACAAAGUAGAUGCAGUUGCCCCUGCACCCCGGCGUCUCCGAUGCACGCACUGAGAACGACGACUGCUGGCUCACGAACAGCGCCCGGUCAUCGGCGAGCCUCUCCACUUUCACCCAUCGUGACCGCUCGAGAUCAGGCUUGCACACCUCGAAGCCUCUGAUGGUCUUGGGGCAAAGGGGUUCAUCUGGUGCGAGCACCGGGCCCACAAACAUGACCUCCCCUUCUAACUCGAGCAGGUGAGAGUUCCGGAGGUAGCGGUACAGGCAGAUCGGGGAGUACUGCUCGAGAAUGCUCGGCGCACGGAGCCUCACCAGGCGCCACGGCGACGGCGCACGCGUGUCCACGGUGUGGGUGAAGCCGAAGAACUCCAUGGCGUAGAAGAUGCCGCCGCUGUAGGCCACCAGGUCGAUGGCAUCGCUCCUUGUGAACUCUUCCGGCAGGAGCAGAUUCUGCUCGGACCACUCCUCCUCCUCGCGCCACCGGAGAGUGACGGUUCGCUCGAAAUACUGGCUAACGAAGAACGCGUCGGCGCCGGCCACGGCCCUGACCGUCGGUUGAAUCAGAAGCCUGUGCCGGGGCGGGUACAUCUCGAUGCUCUGGAACGCGCCGGUGACGGGGUUGACGAGGACGACGCGGUUGUCUUCCGCGAAGGAGAGGCCGCCGCAGGGCAAGGCGCCAGACAACUUUAUGCUGUCAUCUUUCGCGUGGCUGACCGUGGCCGGCAGACGGGCGGGGAUCACCGGCGCCGGCGACUCCUCGUCGUCGGUCGGCACGGAGAAGAUGGCGCCACGGCGGCGCUCCAAGUCGGGCACGAACAGGAGAUCGAGGAAGUACUCGUCCUCGUCGAGGACUUCGAGCGCGAACAGGUGCGGGGUGGGUCUCGCUAGCCGCUCGGAGAUGAUCGCCGCCCAGGACUUGCAGACGGAGGCGAAAGGCGCCGACUCGAGCGGGCUGAUGCGGCGGAGGAUCCUCUCCGUGAGGUGGAAAGGGAGGCCGCCGAUGGUUCCGCUCGCGGCAUCUCCGCCGUCGGCGGGUUCGUGUUGGAAAAGGGUCUUGCUUGAUGGAGUGGCCGUGUGUUUGAUCAGCUCCAUGGAGGAGAGAGAUGAGAGGAAUGUUGGGGUGUGCGUUGGCGCCGGCAGAUGGUGGAGGAGACGACGGGGCUGGCGGCGUUGGCCGGAGCGAGACAAGGGAAACGGCGAAGAGAGAGGUUGGGAGCCACGGUUUGGAGCGCAGCCACUGGGCCAGUUCGGACUUCGCAGACGGCUCUACAUAGAAGGCCCGUCUAAGGAGUAGUUNNNNNNNNNNNNNNNNNNNNNNNNNNNNNNNNNNNNNNNNNNNNNNNNNNNNNNNNNNNNNNNNNNNNNNNNNNNNNNNNNNNNNNNNNNNNNNNNNNNNNNNNNNNNNNNNNNNNNNNNNNNNNNNNNNNNNNNNNNNNNNNNNNNNNNNNNNNNNNNNNNNNNNNNNNNNNNNNNNNNNNNNNNNNNNNNACCGGUGCUGUUCAUCUUCGUUUUUUUUUUUCUUUUGAAAAAACAUUUCAUCUCUAUCUCUAAUUCUUACUAGUAAUUGUGCAUGCGCAAUGCGUGUAUCUACCAACAUAAAUCAAUGAAAUCACAUACAAGACCAUUAAGAAUAGACUUAUCGAAGCAUCAUUGUCAAACCCAAGCCUAGAAUGACAGUUCAACAACUCGACUCAUCCUAAUGAGACAAUCCAUAUUUUUCAGUGUCAGCACUCAUAUUACAUGAAAAAAUAUACAAAUCAACUGAACCAUGAGCAUUUUUUUAAUCUAUUCUCGUAGUAUCUUACUAAGAAAACCCACAUACGGCAUGUACUAACUUUCAUUUGUAAGCAUUAUCACCCAACACGUUGAACUCAAGUCUUGUCAUCCCUUCAGUGAUGCAAUGCAGUUUCAGUAAGAAAGUAAAAUAAAAAUCGUCAAAGCAUUAGUGAGUCUCACAAUAUGAUGUGGCAUGUAUCAAGCACCUAAGUAUUAUCUAUACCUUGCGCUCCUAAGUUGUGUGCGAGUAUUUUAAGUUCUUAUUUUAUUUUAUUUCUUCUUAAAAGGUAAUAUCAAUGCCAUCAAUUCAUUUUUCUUAAAAAAUCUUUUUUAAAUCAUAGCUUUUCAUUUUUCUUUUUAUUAUGGUAAUAUCAAUGCCACUAAAUCAUUCCUUCUUAAAUAAUUUCUUCUUUGUGAUUUUUUACUAUUAUAUGCUUACUCUUCCAUAUUGUAAAAAACACAAUUUCAAUGUAAUUUGUGUGCAAUUUUUGUCAUUAUUAAAUAUAUUCAUUUUCGUUCUUCAUUAGGUUACAAUGCCAUUAAUUGUGUGCAAUUUAUUAUUUCUUAUAAAACUUCAUCUCCUCUUUUAGUUUAAGUUUUUUACUUUAGUAUAGGUGGAAUAAUAAUGCUAGAGAAAGUAUAAGUUUUUAUCUUCUAUUCUGUUAAACAUAGUUGCAUAAUAUUAAUUUCUAUUGUAAUUUGUGUUUGUUUAAUUUAGGAUUAAUCCACUUCCAUGUUUCAUUUUUCCUUACAAAUAAUUUUGUUAUUCUUUGUUCAAAUUUUCUAUGAGGUAAAUGUUCUUUUUCUUUUUAUUUUAUUUAUCUAUAAUUUAAGUUGACAAAAGGUGAAUAUUCAUUUCUAAAUCCAGGCUCACCUGCUCCAGGUGAACAGUAAAUUAAAGAAAAAAACAGAAAUAUUCAAAUAAAUCUGUAUUUUUUGUCAACUAAAACACUCAAGUGCGCGAUGUCCAGGCAAAAAUUCAUCGUUUGCGGACAUCUGAGGAGCUUGUGGCAAAAAAGACAAAAUCGGCCCGAACAGUGUGUGAACAGUAAACAUUCUCACGUACCUCGAUUUUGGUUUUUGCUGAGAGCUACUCAGAUGUCCAAACACCACCAAAAUUAGCAUGGACAUCACACACUUGAACCUCUUUUAUGACAAAAAAAAUUCAUUGGUGUUUUUAUAGUAUCUUUGAGUUCACUGUUCAUACAAAGGAAGCAGAUGAGCUCUGGAGCCGCAUUGCUGCGUCAGGCAAAAGGUGCCUUUUUUUAAUUUUCUUAUCGGGUUAGCUGGCUGUAGGCUGCUUGAGCCCAAUUGGUUCUGGUCGUUUUGUGACCAAUGCAUAUGUUGGGCCUUGUGAGGGAAAUCAACUGAGUAUACGUUUUGUGUCCGUUUGAUCAAAUUUUUGCUAUAGAUGAGAAAUCGACUAACCCAAAUUCUAAAUUUAGGCAACAGUCAUAGGGUCCCAAUUUAAAAAUCAUUAACCUACUUAGAUUAUCUAGACAUAAGCAUACGACCUUUGUUCUCGGAAUGUUUUGUGUUCUAAUUUUCAUCGCAUACUCGACUAGACUAGGUUGCGAUCUACUUUCUAUGUCCCAUACUAUAUAAUAAUAUAAACGAGCUUGCUAAAACUCAGUCGAUUGAGAUUUAACCAGGUCCCAGUCGACCUUGCAGAAUUUCGUCCCAACGUUUGCAACAUUUCCCCCUAGCAAUUGCAACAUCUGUAUUGUUGGUUGUAGCAUGUCGUCUCAUCUGUUGCACCAUCCGUCAUUGACGGUUAUGGCAUUUUUAGUCAUACCGGUUGCAACAUCAGUUGUCGUUGCUUGCAAAACUGUCACGCCAUAUUUCAUCGCUGGUUGUAGCAUCUUAGCCGCGGCAGCAAAACAACUAUGCUGAAGUCACUUUACCCAGACUUCGUUCGAUUGAGUUCUACAUGCCUAAUAUAAAACGUGUUUGCAGUUUAAAUUGAACCACGAAAAUGUCUUAUAUCACAAGGCAGAGGCAGUAUCUCUAAAGUUCAAUUUCAAUAUAUACGACAUGAUGGAAUUUACCGAAUGUCUCGUGGACCUCGCGGUGCAAAUGUGGGCCAGAAGAUUUGCGAAGAUAAACAUUCCCCGAUGAAUUUCUAGCGAUCCCCAAAUUUACAGUUUCCCCACUGAAGUGCAGUCACUGUCCUCAUGCUGCCACAGUAUCUCCUCCAUCUCCUCUCUGAACCGGGGCACCGCCUCCUCCGGCACCGCGACGAACACCUUGAACCCUCGCCGCCGCCUCUUGUCCCCGGCGCCGUAGGGCAGCAGGAAGCACGGCUGCGUGCUCCCGAGCAGCCGCCACGAGAGCGGCAGCACGGCGUCGGGCCCGCCCCACCCGAAGUCCACCUCCGAGUGCCCCAGCCGCCGCCAGUCCGUGAACGCGCUCACGCCGCGCCGCCCCGCCGUGACGCCGCCCUCCCCGCGCCGCAGCUCCUGGAGGUCGACGUAGGACCGCACGUACUCCUCGUCCACCCCCCGCUUGCUCUUCCUGACCAGGGAUGCCGUCUCCGCCAGCGGCCGCCCGACGAGGUCGCCGGCCGCGAGCGCCACGUACACCGGCACGCACACGUUGCCCCAGUACCCCUCUGGCAGCGGCGGGUCGAGGAGCGCGCUGAUGUUCAUGGAGUACACCAUCUUCACGGUCUCGUCGGGGGCGGUUUGGUUGGCCUUCACCUUGGCGCGCCAGAUGAAGGCGGCGAGAACCUCGAAGGUCGUGAACUUGACGCCGGCGUCCGCGGCGAGCCGCGCCCUGAGCGCCUCCACGCGCGCGUCGCUGACGUGGAAGCACUCCCUCGCGAGCCGCUCGUGUCCCUGUCCGUCGCUCGCCGCGCCGUACGGGCCGAGCCGCGCGGCGUCGUCGUCGGUCGAGAGGACGGCGUCGAACGGCGUCACCACCCGCGGCGGGUCCCUGGGGCCCAGAAGCUCCCGGCGGUUCCACACCGGCGCCGCCGCGGCCUCCGGCUCCAGCCCCCGCGCGAACCGCGCGGCGGCGACGAGGAACUUGGUGGACCCCGCGCCGUCGCAGAGCGCGUGCGCCACCCGCAUCCCCAGCGCGACGCCGCCGCACGUGAACCGCGUGACCUGGAGCGCAAGCGCUGCCGGCCCGCCGUCGCCGUCGCCCGGCGCGAGGCGGUCGAGCAGCGGCGAGUCCGGCCUGUCCGCGUCGACGUCGGCCACCGACAGGUCCGUCGCCGCGAGGACGAGGGUCACAGCGUCGACCUCGCCGGCCCCGGUGAGCACGACGCGGCCGUCGUCGCGGAGGAGGGAGCCGGCGAGCUGCGGGAAGAGGCCGAGCGCGUCGGCGAAGGCGGCCUGGAGGACGUCGAGCGGGUCGAGGGAGACCGGGUGGGCGGGGAAGAAGCGGACGGUGCGGAAGGAGACGUCGAGCGCGUUGCGGUCGGCGUCGAGGCCGGAGAGCGGCAGCGACGACGCCGGAGGCUGCGGCGCCGGGAAGAGCCUGACGCUGUCCAGGACCCGCAGGUGCAGCUGCGGCGGCGGUAGGGGCGGCGGCGCCGGCGGCUCCAUGCGGUAGGGGAGCCGGUGCUGUCGCGGCGGCCGGCGGUGGGGCGGGCGGACAGAGGAGCUCGCUCGCGCUUAUUAAAACCCGGGGAAGUUUAAUUGGGUGGAUCGGAGUAGGUGGCCGUGGCGGGACGGCAGACAGAACUGGCCCGUCACGGCAGAGACCGAUGGCGACGCGGUUGGUGGAACAAACUUGUGCGAGGUGUUUCCAGGACGACGAAUGGCGACGUGGGAGCGCCGGGCGCCAGUAGUGCGGCGGCGCCGACACCACUUCAACUUCGCGGUCCGGCGGUUUCUGCUUGCAACACUGUUUUAGUACAUGGUUUUCAGAAACUUCCCGGGAAAUAGCUGUAUCUCUACAGGAUUUAAAAAGACACUGGUAUAUAAAUCCAAACAGUCGCACGUUUACAUCUAUAUAUACGAGUCGGCAAAUCUCACACAGUUAGGCACUAUUUGGUUCUAAGUAAAUCACCAACUUAUAAGUCGAAAAGUGCAACAAACGGACCCAACUUAUAAGUCAUAAGUUGCUGUACCCUAACUUAAAACUUAUAAGUCACCCCCUUUUGCAUGGGUCCCAUCAUCUUUACAUAAAAAAACAAGGUGAAAGAUGUGCUCAGAUGACUUAUAAGUCAGGUGGCAACCAAAUAGGUGUGACUUAUAAGUCACUGGUUUUAAGUCACCUGACUUAUAAGUCAGGUGACUUAUUGAAACAAAACAAGCCCUAAAUGUGUUCUUUUAUUUCUCCGGAAAGAGGAUAAACCUUCUUUAAAGAAUAUUCAUACUCCCUCCAUUGCAAAAUAGAUGACCAAACUUUGUAUUCCACUACCCUUUGUUAAAGAAUACCCAAUGCUAUCAAGCACAACCACGUUUGGUUAGGAGUGACAUGCGUGAAUAGAGUUUUUCUUUCUCAAACACAUACAGACACAUACACAUAUAUACUCACCCCUUUGAGCUUACGCACACACACCCUAUCUCUAUAAGCACCUCCGAGAGACCUUGAGCCGGUAGUUUUGAUGCACAAUAAUUUUCAAAUUCUUGCCACUUAAGGUUAAAGUAUACUAUAGGAUGAAUCAAAACUACUAGGAUCAUCCGUGUAAGUCCAGGGAUGAAUCUUGUCUGAUUUCAAUAGUUGAGGGUGUAAGUUGUCCGGUUUCAAAAUCGAUGGACUAAAUCUAGGCUCCGCCAAGAGUUAAGGGACCAAAAAUAUACUUUCUUGUACUUUUUAUGCAUUGGAGAGUUGCACUUGGUAAACCUAUGAAACCCGGUCCAGUUUCCACCAUAAGAUUCACCUUCCAACUUUUAUACGAUGUUCUAUUUUCAGUUUUGCUUUAUCACACAUUAUCUUCUAAUAAUCGGUUUGUUCAACUAGCAACACCAGCAUAGAUUGACACCUUUGUUAGAAUUGUUGGGGACACAAGAAAGAUUUUAUUUGUAUCACAGGACAUACAUCUGUGCUGGUACCUUGUGCCUUUGAUUUCUCACGAAGGGAAGGCUUACACGCUUGCUAGAAACUCUCACGCUGGGGAGCCACACACACAAGGGUCACUUCUAACGCCCGUUUUUUUUUACUAGUGAGCGUUGGACCAGAGGCGAAGCCACGUUGUGGCCAUGUAGUCAAGCGACUACACAGGAAAUCGGUAAGUUAACUACCCCCAGGUAAUAUAUGACUACAUAAAGGCCCAGCCGUAUUAGCUUUGUGUGUCAUUUGACUGGGCUAAAAAAAAUCAAUGGGAGCUUUGGACGGUCCGAUUGCAUUAGUGCCUGCCUGUGGUUGCGAACGUGUAAGCCUGGGCUGGAUCCCGUGAUCUUCUCUUUGACGGUUCGACUUUGAUUCCAUCUCCUCCUUCGGUCCUCCACACCCUCCAUGAUCUUUGUCCGUGCACAGCCGCCGGCCGCCGGCCGCCGCAGCUUCGGCAAUCGUCAUGCUCUCCAUCAGGCUUCAGCGAUCUUAGCCGUGAGGAGCGAGUGACACACCGUUCCCGUCGACGCCGGCGUCCGUCGGCAUCCGGUAUUGCUGUACGCUAUACCUGUACUGAUUGUGAUUGGCAUCACAUCCAAAGAACCCCUCCAGUUUGUAAGUUUUUUUUCUCUUCUAAUUAUUAUCUUUUACGAGCUGUAUAGGAAUUAUGAUAUUCUAGAUUGCUCUUCAAUCUUCAUUAAGAAAAAUGGAUCUUGUUAAAUCCAGAACAGAUGAAAGCAA